Molecule: long non-coding RNA, 62266 nt
Filed under: Pelobates cultripes (western spadefoot toad)
Lineage: Eukaryota; Metazoa; Chordata; Amphibia; Anura; Pelobatidae
Source: RNAcentral
CGCAGGAGAGAAGAGAGACACAGCCAGGCCAUGAGGACGGGAGAGUCACGCCGACUCCCAUCAGACCCAGCCACCCUCCUGCAAAAAAAGGGUAAGAAAAAUUAGCUAUGUGUGUGUGUGUCAGUAUGUAUCUGUAUGUAUGUCAGUAUGUGUAUGUAUGUAUAUGUAUGUAUGUCUGUAUCUAUGUAUCUGUAUGCAUGUCAGUAUGCAUCUGUGUAUAUGUAUGUCUGUCUGUAUGUAUCUGUAUGCAUGUCUUUGUAUGUAUAUCUUUAUGUAUGUAUAUGUAUGUUUGUAUGUAUCUAUUUAUCUAUCUGUAUGUAUAUGUAUGUAUGUAUCUGCAUGUAUGUAUGUAUGUAUGUCUGUCUGUGUGUAUGUAUGUAUAUCUAUCUGUAUUUGUGUGUAUGUAUCUGUAUGUAUGCAUUUGUAUGUAUGUGUAUGUAUGUAUGUAUGUAUGUCAGUAUGUAUGUAUGUGUAUGUAAGUCAGCAUGUAUGUAUCUGUAUGUAUGUGUAUGUAUGUAUGUGUAUGUAAGUCAGCAUGUAUGUAUCUGUAUGUAUGUGUAUGUAUGUAUGUCAGCAUGUGUAUUUAUAUGUCUGUCUGUAUGUCUGUCAGUGUGUAUGUAUGUCAGUAUGUAUGUCCUUAUGCGUGUGUGUGUGUCUGUAUGUUAGUAUGUGUCUGUGUGUUUGUAUAUGUCUAAGUGUCUGUUUCAGUAUGUGUGUAUGUUUGUUUCAGUAUGUGUGUCUGUUAGUAUGUGUGUGUGUCAGUAUGUGUGUAUCUUUGUGUGUGUGUGUGUGUAUCUGUGUCCUUUUUGUAUCAGUGCAUGUGUUUGUGUCUGUGUAUUCAUGUGGACGAGGUUUGGAGGCAGGCUUUGGGGGCAUACUUGGAGGCGGGCACCCGGGGGGCCCAGACCUUGAGCAGUGUUAGGGGCCCCAAAAUUUCUGAUGGCGGCCCUUCAAGCACACAAAAAAAGACUGUCUCCGGACUUUGCCAGCACAAACUUGGGAUCACUCUGUGGGUUAUUAACUAAAGUGAAAGUUCAAAGUAAAUUUCAAAUUAAAGUCCAAAGAGGAAGCAUGGCUGAAAUAGAGAAUUUUUCCAGUUUGGGAAGUUCUAUUUUGACCUUAACGGAACACUAUAGUGUCAAGGAACACAUACAUGUAUUACUGAAACUAUGGUUGUAAAAGUUGUUUAGGUGCUCAGCCCUUAACUCCUGUUAAAAAGGUGUUUUCACUGACUUUUUUUCCAGAGCCAUGCUGGUCUCGUUGCGGCUGGCCCCGGCCCGCUCUUCUCUGCCUCCUUGACUGAGAUUAUCAAAUUUGCCAAUCUCAGCCAAUCCAAUGCUUUUCCAAGGGAAAACAUUGGAAGGCUUUUGCGCAUGUGCAACAAAAUGCUGUGCUGCACCAAUCAGCAUUACCUCAUAGAGAUGCAUUGAGUCAAUGCAUCUCUAUGGGGAGCGUUCAGCAUCUCCAUUGAGGAGUGGCCACUAGAUAUGUUACUAAGCAAGAAUUUAAACACUGCCUUUUUUUCCGAAAAGGCGGCAUUUAUAUUAAUAAUUCUGCAGGGACAGGCUGUAGACACCAGAACAUUAAGCUGUAGUUGUUCUGGUGGCUCUAGUGCCCUUUAAGUUUGUCCCUUUAAAAUUCACUUUGAAUUCUCACUUUAGUAAAUAACCAUGUUUGUCUCAUGCAUCGAAAAAAGUAACUUAUUAUUAAUAGAAACCUGUCAUUGAAUAUGACACAGAGAUUGUUUAAAGUGACUGCUACUUCAUGUCAUUAUUUGAGCAUUUCAUAAAGAAUCUUUGAAAAAAAAUAAUUGUUGACUAUGCUGGAAUUUCAUUGAAAUUCCAAAGCAAUCAAACCAUAUAAGUCAGAAAGUAGAAAAAAGUUGACGAAAUUGGCAAGUUGAUAAAGGUUGACGAAAGGCGGAGCUUCUAGCAUGCAGGACUAGUACGGUCACGUAUUAUGUAGUAUUAGAGUAUAAAUUGCCACUCAGAGGGUUAGGCUGUCAUUGUUCAGCAUGGUUCUGUGUGGAUGUGUCUGCCUGUGAACUUUGUAAUGAGUUAAUUUGGUUUAACUAGUGGGAGUGGAGAACAGCUUCAGACUCACAUUCAAAAAAAGCUGCUAAUUGUACAUAGUAAUUUGUAUCUGCUUAGUCUAGGCUUCCCCAAACUCCGGCCCUCCAGAUGUCGCUGAACUACAAUUCCCAUGAUUCUCAGCCUAUCUAUUUCAUUCAUAGAAUCAUGGGAGUUGCAGUUCAGCAACAUCUGGAGGCACAAAAGAUAAUUAUUCACAUAAUUUGUAUAAGUACACACAUACAAAUAGUAAAGUGCAAACAUGCAAAGUAAUCACCUAACCAAUAACCACAUAUUCUAGGCAAGUAAAGUGAUCAAUGCCUAAACCCAAAUGUAACAGGUGUACUGACAAUGAGCUGGAGACCACAGCACCCCAGGGGUGUCGGCUGACAUAGCAGGUGCACACAUGCACAUGAACACAAUAAUCACUAGUGUGCAUGCGCCUUACCAAUGGUCCUUUUUUGGUUCUUUAAAGGGGAAGUAGUCCAGUAAAUGCACUCCAUUUACACUUCCCUAAUUAACAUAAUUAACACAAUUAAUUCCCUAGCCUAUCAAUACACAUAGACCUAUUGAUACCUCCCUCUGACAUCACUUUCUUUCCCCGUCGUGGUCUUUUUAGGCUGAGGGUGCGUUCCUAUAGCUCUGACUUUUCCGGUAUCAUUGGCUUUGUAUCUGGUUUAUCCAUUACUCUGGUAUCCUUGACCCUUGGCUUUGUUCUAUGAUUAUCCUUUCGUCUCCUCUCCUGACCUUGGCCUGUUUGUCUAUUCUCUACCUUUUUCUAUUUGCCUAUCUACGUCGCUACGUCCGGCAACCCUAAGGCCCAGUAAUACGUCUUUGUGUAAAGGGCCUCCAUUGAUUGCGUGUAUGGGUAUUAGUCCUAGACAAGGGAUUUGCUUGCAAUUUUUUGUUUGAUCGACAAUUUUUUAAAAUCUAACUGAAAAUAUUUCAACCAAAAUUGUAGAGAAAUUAAAUAUUUUGGAAAUCUGAACUAAAUCAACCGCGUAGUUAAGGGUUAAGUUCAGCCUAGAAAGAUGCAUACACUUACCACUGAGAUCAGGCCCCUUUUUAACGCCUUAUUUAAAUCAAAACUGUAAAUAUACAUAUGUUUGAUUUUCUCAGCUAUCCUUGAACUACAAUCUAUAUACAAAAUUGCACUUUUUCCCUGUCCUGUUUAAAUAAAUACUACACUUUAAUGGCAUUCCUUCAGUAAAAAAAGGCGUUAAUUGUGAAUCUCUAAACCAGAGGUGCCCAAAAGACCGGUCCCCAGAUGUCACAGAUAUUGCAAUCCUGCAGUUUUACAUUCAAAUACAUGUUUAUUACUGGGAUUACAUGAGAUAUGUUUUAUUCUGCACCAAAAUAUUUGCUACCUAAUGAGUGCCUGUGAGUUUAUUGAAUCAGAUACUGCUUCACCUUGUGUAUGGACAUUCACUCAUUAAACAAAAUAUUCAGGUACAAAUUCACUGUCCAGGGGAGUGUAAACCCUGCAAAGAGUAAAAACAAGAAAAUGUUCUGACUUUACCAUCCUUUCAUUCCAAAGAAUACAAAGAAUAAUUCAACAGGGAGAUUUUAAACAUAAGUAAUGUUAUUUAUUCAAAUACUAGAGAGCUUGGCACACAAAAAUAAAUUAAUUCAUAAAAGUCGAAGCUGCUCAAACCAUGCAAUAUAAUCAUUUUUUUUUCUUGUCACUUGGUGUUCUAGAUAUACCCUAUAUUGAUCAAAGCCAAUGAUCCAUUAGUGUCAAUGAAUUUACCUGUGCUUAAACUACAAGAAUAUUUUUCAAUUGUAUAAUAGAUAUGUAGAUAUACUUCAUAUUUUCAGUGCUCACUGUGUAAAUGUUUCACAUGCAUAUUGUUUAAACUCUGCAAAACCGCCUAUCUGAGGCACUGAGCACUUUUAAUGCAAUUCUGAGCACCUUACUCUGUAUGACACUACCUUACUUUACUGGUUUGGGUUGUACAAAUGAGUAAUGUAUCUAUGAUUAUGCAGAUACUGUUUGAUAUGAAUACAUUUAUAUGUCACCCAAACGUUUGCACACAGCCAGCAUUUAAUUUAUCUCCCAGUUAAAAAAAAAAAAAAAAGGUUGUUCCAAAGGCAAUGUGUUUAGGCAAGUCUACUGUGUUUUCAAAGGAACUGCAAUGCCAAAACCUGGAGGUAAAAUGAACUGGUACGGUACUGUGACGAGACCAAUCUCGCCACUGUACAUUGGAGGAGCAGGGUUGCCUGCCUGCUCCCUUGUGACUAUGGACUGGCAGUUAAACAGUCUAUUUUACUGUGCAGAAAGUCUCAUUCGUGCCUUUCUGCACAGCCUUUGGGUAGAUUCUAUCUACCGAACAAACAGCCUUCUAUUAGCCUCCCCAGAGCCGUGGGGAGCCGGCAGGCGCUGUUAAUUGGCAGCCCAUAAGCUGGCGUGCGCCACCAAUCUACCUCCCUGAAGCCACGGUUAACCGCGGCUUAACAAGCGUGUGCAGUCAAUUGACCACCCAGUAGCUGCGGUUAACCGCAGCUUAAUUCACUGUUACUCGGUGGCCACGGUUACACUUAGCGGCCGCUAGGUGGCGGUGUUAUGGAGCUCCCCGGACGGCCAGCGGUGCUCAGCCCGGAAUCAGCACACCAAAAGCGGAUACUUUUACAUGCAGGCACCUCUGAGCCUCCAGCCUUCCCUGCUUCUAUUCGUGGCUAUUUAACCGAACACCUGAUCAUUCGGGACUUUGUUUAAGUGAAUGCUUUAACCCAGAUAGCACAGCUAUGGAGCCUAUUCGUGUAAUUAAAGACUUUGGCUCCAUGGCAAAUUGAAUUGUGUGUAUAGGAUCUGAGCGCUAUUCGGUACAAUUGUGCGCUCAGAUCCCAGCUAUCUGUGGAUGGGUUACAUGUAUAUAUUUUAGGUGAGAAAUGUAACAUUAUGUAUUUUAUUGUAUUUUAGUGUUUUAUUGUAACCACAUGUGUAAUGGCGAUUUGCCUCUGUCCUGGGAGAUAAUUGGAUUACUUCCCAGUUAUCUCCAGGAUAGAGGGGAGGGAAUUAGGAUGCAUUGUGGGGAUGUUUUACUUCUGUGUGUCUGUCAUUGGUGCAUGUCUGUCCCUUGUCACAGUCUCCCAUUUGGUCCCCUAGGGGCGUGUCCACCAGGUGGGAGACCUGCAUAAAUAUUGGGCAGGUAGCCCUGAAUAAACCAGACCACUGCUUGACCCCCAACAUGGAGCUCUGUCUCGUCUUUGGGGGGAUUUAUUGUAUGCUGUUAGAGACUCAUUGCCAGGAGUGUAAGUUGCUUGGGUGCUUUUCCUGUUCGUCUGCUAGCAGCUAUUCAUGAGGUUACAGUUCGGGAGUUUGGAGUACUAUUUUGUAUGCAGUUCGGGAGUUUGGAGCAUUACCUUGUAUUCAGUUCAGGAGUUUGGUGUUCCGCAGUAGCUGUGCCUGUGUCUCUGGAAGGGAAGAUAUACUAAAUGGCGGUUUAACCCUUUUAUGCUUGGGGGUGCCGUUACAGGUACCUUCUGUGAUAUCACCAUGGUAUGAGGCAUAUUGUUUAAUGUUACUGGAUAGUAUGACUUUUGGGGACACAGAACGCUUGUUCUUUAAGAUGGGCCUUGUGCAAGAUGUGAGGGAACAGAAGAUGCUGUGGCUGUGAAGGUACAGGGGAGUGUCAACAUUUGCACAAAUGUACAUGGAGAUAACUACUAAACCACUGUAGACCUUAUAAACACAUAUUAAAAAGUAUUUUUGAUGUGUACAACUCGCCAACUGUGUGUAUGGGUGUUAGGAGUGGCUUUAGGGGCUGAAAUCUGAGAAGAGGGUCUAAUCAGCCCAGAUCCCUUCUUGCAUUUCCAGUACAUUUACAGAAAUUCAUCUCCCAUUGUUACAUUCUCUCAAUGCAUCUCCAAUGUUUUUUCCCAUGUUUCACCAUACCAAAAUUAUUCAUCAAUAAAAGUCAUAUUUGUCCAAUUCAUCUUCACCAAUCAUAUUCCUCCAAUCCACAUACUCCAGUUUAUAACCCGACAAUUUAUAUCUUCCAGCUGUAUCCUUAUAUAUCACAAUAUCAAGCCCAAUAAAUUUCUUUAGGUAUAUACAUCCAGUUCCCCUUUUUCCCCCCUUAUUCAUCCCACAGAUCAGUUCCUCCAACCAUCCUCCCAGUUUAACCUCCCAAAGAAAUGUUCUUGACGCGGUUCUGUCAUCCCAUGAAUCCCUUGGCUGAAAACUGUGGGAUCCGUGCAUCUGUGCCCUGUGGUGAUCCCUCAUUUUUGGACCAUGGGAUCGGCUUUGCUUAUAAUUAUAUAUGAAUUUUCAUUUUUAUUUCUGGACACUACCAUCUUCAGUUUUAUAAAAUGACUGCACCCAGAAAUUUGAUUGGCAUGCUCGUCAAAUGCCCAGUUCACCAAAAACAUUAUCAGGAUGAUUGAACUGCCUUUUAUAAUUUUUUUUCUAGAGUGAUUAAGGAAUCUAGUGAUUCUACAACAUGGUAAAUUGUUUUCCAACAACAUACCCAUCCAAAUAUUCUUUAUAAAAGAUGUUUAUGAUAAUUAAAAGUUAAUGUUAUAAAGCCAUGUAUAGUAAAAGUUAAAUUAAUGUAUGUCCCCCCUUAAAGGGUAACAAGAAUCCCUUUUAAGGUCCUAAUUCUAUAACUUGUCUUAGACCUUUUUUGGAUUUGAUUUUAUUCUUUGCCCAUAGCUAGCUGAGCUUGUCAAAUCACGUGCAUGCCCAGUUUACCAAACACAAUAUCAGUAACAUUAUGGGCUGACUGAGUGUAUGAAGACAGGAUAUGAUUUGGUGCUGGAGGGAGGUGAAUGCUAACAGAGCCAUUGGCUAAAAUGACAAAGGCAGUGGUGCUUGACUAAAGCACCACCCUUUUUCAACUUUUGUCAACCGUCUAGUUAUACAUAAGGAAAAAUAGUCCCGACUAUGUAUUAUGCAUUACAUUAAAAUUAAGCAAAACAAUUUUAAAAAAAGUAGGGCGGGACUAAAGAUAAAGUUAGUCACUAUCAUGUUCAUACCAUUUUUUUUUAUACAUUUGGGUAAGAUUUUAUAAAUAAAAUAUUAAUUUGCAAAAAAUAAAAACACAUUUUUUUUGGGGCAUGUUUUAUUCGAUUUAUCUACAAUUAUUGAGCUGAUUUAUUAUCCAUUAUGAUAGAACCAUCUGUCUGUGAACUACUUCUAUUCCCCUUGGUUUCGUCUGUUUGUUCGGUUAAUUGCCUGUCCGUACCGCCCGUUUGUUUAUUUCCUAAACUCACGAAUAAACUGCCGAACGGCCGGCCACCCAACUUGGAAGUGUGCUGCUGGUUAACCUCUUGGCUUCAUUAGAACGUUGUGGUUAACCACAGACACCUCCUAAUUAUCAACGGUAUGCCGGGUGGUCGUCAUUCGUAUGCCAUCGGCUGCCAUCUUGGACGCACGAAUGAUCAGCGGUGUUCAUCGAUGAUUUCCUGGAACUGAAAACGGACACUAUUUCUCCCGAACACCGCUGAAACCGCUGACCUCCCUUCUCUGCCUUCCAGCAUACGAACGCCGGUCCGUUCAGUACUUCUCUGCACAAAAUGACUUACCCCAGAUAGCCAUCCCAAGGAGCCCGUUCAUAUACCGAAAGACAAUGUGAAAUACUUUGGCUCCACAGCAAUUGAACUGAGUGUAUAGGAUCAGAGCGCCAUUCAGUAAUAAAGUGCGCUCAGAUCUAAGCUAUCUGGGGAUAUGUUAAAUGUGGUUAUUCUAUUUGUGUAAUUCGGAGUUAUGUAUCUUUAUGUAUUUUUAUUAUUCUGUACAAAAUGGAGUUUAGCCUCUAUCCGUGGAGAUAAUUGGAUUACUGCCCAAUUAUCUCCAGGAUAGAGAGGAGGGUUGUUCUCAGCUAAAGGGGAGUGUUUAUGCUUGGGCCACUGUGAUUGGCUACUGUAUCCAUAUUGUCCCAGUCUUCCAUCUGGUCCCCUAGGGGAGUGUCCACCAGGUGGGAGACCUGCAUAAAUACCGGUCAGGUAGCCCUCAAUAAAUCAGAUCUCUGCUUAACCCUCAAUAUGAAGCUUGGUCUCGUACUUAGGGUAUUGGAUUUGUAUGGUUUACUCGUUCGGCUAUUUGAUACGUGAAGGAUUUUGUAUGGUUCCUGUUCAGCUGAUUGGAGCUUUCGUUAGCUGUCUCUGCAUUCGGAAGGUGAACGUCCUCAGCGGUAUUUACCCCUUUUAUACCUGGGUGUACCGUUACACCCAUAUUAUGCAUUAAGAAAUGAGGGUCGACUUCAGUUAGUAGUGUUUGACUUUGUUUGUGUUUAGAGUUUUCAUUAUACAAAGGGAUCUAAGGGAUCUAUUGUUUGAGAGACAAAAUUUUUCCUUUUUUACAUCCACUGGUGGUGGCAGAAUGCUUAAAAUGUCUAACCUGGGCAUUCACUUCAAUAUUUGAGCUACAACUAUAGUAUAGUUUAAAGGCCAAGAAAUAUAAUAUCUUACAUGGCCAGGUGUACUAUAUUAUGCUCCUUCAUGGUGUUGCCAUAUUCCAUGAGGAUGAUACUCACAUAUACAAUGCAAUAUGCAUUUGAGAGUGAUUUUGUGAACAUCCAGAGGAAGUCAAGCACAUUUCAUGGCCUCCUUAAUCAUCAAAUUUAAAUAUCACUGAACUUUAGCAUGGAAUGUGAAGUAGAUUACUAAAUCCUUCAGCUCUCGAAGGAUUGAAUGUCUUAAUAUCUUGAAGUACGGUGUAAUAUCUGAACAUUUCAAGACUUGUAUGACAACAUUCCAAGAAGAACCGAACCUGUACUAGAAAAUGUAUUCCUUAUUUGGUCUUUGAAAUUAUCAAAUUUUUAGGUGUUGUCCAUAGUUCACGUUUGCAAAUCAAUGGUCACUUCCAGAUAGUUGUGGGUUUAGUGAACAACAAUGACAGUGAAUAGAACUGGCAUAAAAAUUGCAAAGGAAAUGGUACAGUGAAUCUUGAUGUAAUGAAAAUGGAAUAUGAUGCAAAUUAUAGUAAGGUUAUUCACAAUGGUGCACAUUGUUAAGAAUUCUAAAUUAAUUCAAAGUUAAUUUUAUAUUUUAGUCACAAUAGCCAAACUCACAUUACGUAUUAUGGAACUGUUUGGACACCAUAACAAUUUCAUCAAUAUAAAGUUGUUAUGGUGCCCAGAGGUCCCUGGUUCUUUCUUACCAGAAGGGGCUAAACUGUUCUCUUAAUCUAAAAGGUUGCUCUCUAGUGCUUGAUCUCCUUUUUCCCAGAGGCAUCCGGCUUCUUCAAGUGACUUUCAGGAAGCACGGUGUCAGACAGGGGCGCUGCUGAUUGACUAGAGUGGUCAGCUGACGAUCUAAAUCAAUCAGUAGCACCCCAUUCAUAAAAAAUUUACUUAUCUUUUUUAUGAAUGGGGAACUACUGAUUUGCUUAGAGUGUCCGUGACAUUGAGCAUAUGCAUGAUAUAUAAGUUAAGUUUAAUCAGCUACAAGCUAACUUGUUGGAACAAGCAGUGUAUUUUAUUUUUUUUUACUAAAAUUAACUAUCAAUUCCCAGGGUUUUCAAUACAAUGUCUACUUAUCCCUAUAUUUAACAAAUAUGUAUUAGUUAUAUGCAAAAAAUAAUAUCAAAUGUAGAAAUUCACAUAUUUUCUCUUGUAACAGGGUGCCUUCAUCUUAUCCUGUUGCCUAUCAUUAUUACAAGCGCUGUCCUUUGCACCUAAAAAAAAUACAAACAAUGUUUUUAUUUCUCCUCUUCAUCUGCAAUGUUGCCCUUUGCCUUGUCUGAACUGGACCCAGAGAAAAUCAAGAUGCAAACAUUUCCUGUUCUGCUUCUGACACCUCCCUCUGCAGCUUCAAGCAGAGUAAAGUAAUCCACAAAAAUAGAAAAAAUGAGGGCAGAUCAAACAAUUUCAAAUGUUCAUACCAAGGGCUACAAAAAGAUUUAUUUACAAGACAUAAAGUACAAACGUUUCGGGUAGUCCCCUUUAUUUUUUUUAAAGGACAUGCAUUGAUACAUUUGCAAUUGAUUGCGCUGCCCUAAUUUUUUCUAUUAUUGUGGAUAAUUAAAUCAGUUGCUAAAUAUUUUAUAUAAAUAAAAGAAAACAGAGCAUCUUAGGAGAAAAAAGUUAUCUUUUUUUUUUUAUUAGGGAAUUUACAUUUUUUAUUCAAAGGUGUACUUUUAACACAUAAAUAUAAAUAUAUAUCUAUGAAAUGUGCUUAACAUUUUAGUGGUAUUUUUUCCUUGAGUGAAGCUUCCUGAGCACUUGUGCUCCACCCUCUGGCUGCUUGUUCAACAUAUAGCUACAAGCAUUUUUAUAAGAGAUUCUAAGGACUCUGGUGAGAUCCAAAAACGUAUUUUCUUUCCGAAACAUUGCACAGUUGCUAUAUUUCCAUAUUUUACUGCCUGCUUAAAUUAUAUGAAUUUGUUCCCGUAAUAAAGAAUAAGGACAUUAUGUUCACUGUUUAUAAUCAAUAACUACCUAUAUAAUGGCAUUUAAGGUUGUUAGACAUAAAUAAUUUUCCACCUGACAGACAGUUGUUAUUACACAACUCAUAAAGUAUUUAGUUAUCCAAUAUACAGUUAUCUCCUUCUGCAGACAAGUGAUGCAGAGUGAAAUAUUGUGACAACUUUAUAGCCCAGCUCCCUGAAAACCUGGUUCAACUUGGUUUGCAGGAACCUCCUCAAUUCGAUAUUCAGUUUCUGGCAAACACCCAUAGACUCCCAAGAAUUCAGGACCAACACCCAGAGAAACAUAUUGUUCUCAGGAUGUGGUUAUUAUGUACUAAUAUGGCAAUUAACGAUUACUUUAUCAUUCUACUAAAAAUACUUUGGGUUAUUUAACUCAAUAAAUUUUUUCUUGGUGAGUUACCAAUAUAAGCAUAUUUGAGUGUUACAUAAAUAUAUCUAUUAGUGGGCGGGGACCCGCCACUUAUCUAUUACUUGGACCAAGAAAGAAAACCAGUUACAGGUUAAUUCACUCAACACUAAGUUGUAGUGAAAUGAAAACUAAAUUGUAAAAUACAGGUAAAAAUUCACAUCUGUGACAGUAAUUGACACAAUCCACUACAAUUUGGAAUUUAGUGAAUAACCCUGAAUUUUUUUAAUGUGAUCUUGAGUCAUUAGGGGAGAAUGGCCGAAAGAAGAAUGUUUAGGGCCUUUCUGAAGAUCAAAACUGAUUUCUUUGGUCAAGGCAUUCAUAAUUUCCACUGUAUACAAUGUGGCACUAUCCAGCUUGGAGAUAAACCUUGUGCACAGUACUACUACCAUCUGUUUUUUGUUGUGCCAAGACUUUCUGUAACUGUUGUAUUGUGUAUUUUCAAAUCCUGUAGGUACUGCCAUACGGUCGGUGCAAGGAGUUUUGUGGAACAGAGGCGAAGAUACAUUUUACGCCCCAUCCCCCCCAGAAAAGCAUCUUCACCUGUGUCGACCCCCUUUUGUGUUUCUUAUCCCUCUUUUAAAUUUCUUACCCUCUUUAGUGUAUCUUAUUCCCUAUUUUUCCCCAUUGUGUGUCUUACACCCCCAUUUGUGUAUCUCUUACAACCCACCUUGUGUUAUUAUUUUUUUAAUAUAUACUUUGAAAAAUAUUUUAAUAUUUUGGUGUUUUUUUUCAAUAAAAAAUUUUGUAUACAGUAUGUAUUUUUUUUAAUUCGUUUUUGUUUGCAUACAAAGAGUAUGGACUUUAGGAAGAUGAUAUCAGAGCAUAGUACAACAUGUUAACAAUUUUGCAUAGAUUACAAUAGAUCUGAAUCAUUUAUACAGAAGCAUUCUUAACCUGGACAUAUCAAUAGCAUCAAACAAUUUGUUCUACGAUUUUCUUCUGGUUUCAGCAUGUAGACUAGAAGAAACAACAUUGACUAGGAUUCAGUAACAUUCCAGUGGCAGCAAAAUAAUAAAACCUUUAAGUUGGAGCUAAGAGUUAUGUAGAAGUGGAUGCCAUGGUUCCCAGAUCUGAGUGAACUUCGUGUAUCAUUUGUGGAUUGAAAAUGUGAUCUCUUCCAUUCGUUUUAUGUAUUCUACUUUGUGUAUCCACUGCCUAAUAGUGGGAACGUUCGCUUGUUUCCAUAGGGCCGGGAUAAACAUGUUCACUGCUGUGAGUAAGUGAGUUACCAUAUUGGAUGUUGGUGUCUUAAUGUUUGGUAAUGGUGCUAGGAACAAAAUAUAUUCCGUGAAGAAUGGGAUAUUGGAGGACGUUAUUGUUUGGAUUAGUGUGUGUAUACGUUUCCAGAAUUUUUUAAUCUCUGGGCAGUGCCACCAUAUAUCUGUUGUGUGUGCAUUGGCUUGGUGACAUCACCAGCACUCAUCUAAUGCAGUGCCAUGGAUUUUGAAGAUUUUUGCGGGUGUCUAGUGCCAGCGCACAAUGUGUUUAUAAUUGCUUUCUUGGGUGCCCAGGUUAGUGGAUGAUAUGCGCCCUCAUGAGUACUGCUUUCCACUGAUUUGGUGUGACGGACACCAGUUACUCCUCCAUCCACCUCGCAGCGAAAUGUGGAAGGGUCUAUGUAUCAGCCUCCACCAGGGUUUAGUACACGGUUGAUAAGAAUUUAUUUUUUAACGGGUGUUGUUGGCACAGCAUUUCAAAUUUUGUGGGGUCCCUAUUACUGUUAGGGAGGAGGUUUGCACUGUGUAUGAAGUGGGACAGUUGUGCGUAAUGUAGAUGUUGAUUGCCUGUAACGGCCUGACUUGGCAACAAGUGACAAAGUGUUUUCAUUCCAGUCUCAUGGACUACUGCUUGGAGCGUGAGUACUGGUGUGUCAUGAUAUUGGCGAUAUUGAGUACCCGUCCACCCCUCCUGAAAUAGAGAAUUGUGAGUGGAUACAUAGAUGAGGGGUGGAGACAAACCUUUGCCUGGUUGUAUCCCAUAUUCUGAGUGUGGCCGAGAUAGUCGGGUGUUGUUUUGAGCAGACAUACACGUGGCUUGACUUGUGCCAAGGUAUUGUAUGUAUGGGAACCUAGAGGAAGGUAGCUUCAAUUUGAACCCACUGCGUGGUUGUGUUGGUGUUUGUCCAUUCAUAUAUCCUGGCUAGAUGAAUGGCUAUGUGAUAGUGUUUCAGACUUGGGAGACGUAUUCCUCCCUCUGAGCGUAGUUUUGUGAGAAGUGAGUAAGCAAAUGUUGGGUGAAGAUGUGACCAUAAGAAUGUGGUAAGAAGUUUCCGAAUUGUAAUAAAGAAUAUUUUAGGGAGUAUUAUGGGGAUCGUUUGCAACAAGUGCAAUAUGAGCGGAAGGAUGUUAAUUUUGAUAAUGUUGAAUCUGCAAAACCAGCAAAAUUGUGGUUUGUUCCAUGUUUUGAGGUCUUUAGUUAUGGCCGCUAGUAAUGGAGGGAAAUUAGAGUUGUAUUGGCGAUUCAGUUUCAGAGGGAGGUGUAUCCCUAGGUAUUUAAUGUCUGUGGCAGCAUAUGAGAACUGAAAGCACUGUUUUAGUGACCUGUCCAUGUCUGUGGAAGUGUUGAGUGGCAUCAGUUCGCAUUUCGAUAGGUUGACCUUAAAAUUAGAUGUCCCCUGAUAUAGCUCUAUUUCCGACAUAAUGUGUGGGAGAUUAUAAAAGGGGUCUGAGAGUGUAAAUAAGAUAUCGUCUGCAAACACAGCCACUUUAUAUUCCUCUCCAUUAAGUAUGAAACCAUGGAUAUGUGGUCCUCAUAUCCCUUGGAGGAAAGGUUCAAGCACAAGUAUAAAUAUAAGAGGGGAUGGGGGUACCCCUGUCUCAUGCCAUUUGUAAUUGUUACUGGAUUAGACAGUUGUCCAUUAAUUCUUAGUUGUGCUGUCGGUAUAGAGUAUACGGCUUGUAGCCAACUAGUGCAAUUUAGGCCAAAACCCAUGUAUUGUAGUGUUGCCAACAUCAGGGACCAGUCCACCCGAUCUAAGGCCUUUUCGGCAUUGAUCGUGAGCAAGGCAGUCGCUUCCUUGGAUCUGCUCACCCAAUGCAUAAAGUUUAUGAUUUUGGUGGUGUUAUUUUUGGCUUCUUUCCCUGGCACAAAGCCCGACUGGUACGGGUGAAUCGAUCCCGGUAAUAGUGACUUUAAUCUGGUGGCAAGGAUUUUUGUAAACAUUUUUAAAACAAUGUUUGUUAAUGAAAUGGGCCUAUAGCUAUGACAGUUGGUGGGAUCUUUGCCUGGUUUCGGGAGUAAACCUAUGGAAGCUUCCAAUAACGACUUGGGUAAAUAGGGGGACCUUAGCAGAUGGUUGAAUUCUGUCAUGAAUGGUUGUAUCAGAACCUCUGACAAGACCCUAUAGUAUUUGCCCAUGAAACCAUCUGGGCUUGGGCUUUUUCCUAAGGGUAGGUGUUUGAUUGCCUGGCGUACCUCGCUUUCUAGGGAGGAAGGGGAGAACGUAACAAAAUAUGGGAAAGGAAAGGGUUCGUACUCUGAGCAAGGAUUAUCACAUAAUGUAUACGACUGUCCCGGUGUACGUAGGUCGUUGACUAGGCUUGGAUCAGAGUUCAAGUGUAUGAGCUAGGGGUCUUCUCUGUGCCCUGGCCUCUUCACUCCACUUCGGGUAACCAGAAAAUUGUAAUCCGUUAGGGAAGAGCAGUGUCAUCAGGUAGCUCCAUAAAGCCCAACAACCAGCCAUCCCAUGCUCCGCGAUGCUGGAAAUACUCCCAUCCGGUUCAGUGAGCCUAUAAGCAUAGCAUUCCGAUCCGGUGAUCCCCAUAGUUGUCGGUGUGUGUAGUAACCUAAAUAGCAUCCUUGUGGCUGGCCACAUUGUGGGGUUGUAGGAUUUAGGCCUGCCUUCCACGUUUUCGCUGGUGUGUUCCACCACUGCCUCUGAGGGAGCCUUGAUGUGUCCGGAACAGGUUGCGGUGUGUACCAAUCCAUAACCUGUGUAUCAGGUAAAUCCAAUGCCUGUAGAAAAGGUGCUACAUCUUGUUGCAUUGAGAUGGAAUGAGUAAUGCCUUUGUUGGUGACAAUAAGCGCAAAGGAAAAACCCCACCUGUAUUUCACCUUGUGUCUCUUAUCCCCCUCUUUAUAUGACUCUUACAUCGCCCCACAUUUUGUGUGUCUUACUCCCCCCUGCCCCUUUGUGUGUCUCCUUCUCUCCCAGCGCCUUUGUGUCUUUUACUCUUCCUAGCUCCUUUGUGUGUGUUUUUUUCACCCGUAGCCAAACUGUUCUCCCAGCCCCUCUCUGUGUCUCUUUCCCAUCCAGCCCCUCUGUGUGUCUUCUCCAGGUCCUCUAUCUUUUUCACCCCCAGCUGCUAUGUGUAUUCCUCACCAGGCCAUUCUGUGUGUUUAUUUCAUUCCCAACCCACCUGUGUGUUCCCUCCCCCCCAUGUCCCUCUGUGUUCCUUUCUUCACACUCAGUCCCCUCUGUGUGCUUCUUUCUCCCCUACCAGCCCCUUUGUAUGUCUCUUUCACCCCUUCCUCCAUUUCUUUGUAAUCUCUUCCACUCCACCCUUGUCCUUGUCCUAGUGGUCUCCCAUCCCUGUCCCUUAGUAGUCUCCUCUCCCCUCCCCUCCCUGUCCUUUAGUGGUCUCCUCUCCCCCUGUCCCUUAGUGGUCUCUUCUCUAUGUCCCUUAGUGGUCUUUCCUCCCCCCUCUUCCUUAGUAGUAUCCCCCCCUCCUUGUCCCUUAGGUGUCACCUCUCCUUGUCCCUUAGUGGUCUCCUCUUCUUGUCCCUUAGUGGUCUCCCCUCCCUGUCCCUUAGUGGUUUCCCAUCCCCUCCCUGUUCAUUAGUGGUCUUCCUCUCCCCCCCCUUUGUGGUUUCCUCUCCCCUCCCUUCCCUGUCCCUAGGUGGUCCUCCCCCCCUCAGUGUUUCUCUCCCCUCCCUGUUGUAUAGUGGUUCUCUCCCUUACCCUCCCUGCCCCUUAGUGUUCCUCUCCCCUUCCUUCGCUUUCCCUUAGUGGUCCUCUCCCUUCCCUAUCCUGUCCCAUAGUGGUGCUCUACCCUCCCCUCCCCUUCCUGUCCCUUAGUGUUUUUCUCUCCUCCCCUCUAUGUCCCUUAGUGUUCCUCUCCCCUUCCUGUCCCUUAGUGUUCCUCUCCACCACUUUAGUUGUCCUCUCCCCUCCCUUACCUGUCCCUUAGUGUUUCUCUCACCCCCCUUAGUGUUCCUCUGCCCUCCCUUCCCUUGGUGGUUCUCUCCCCUCUCUUGUGUGUCUAAUACUUCUCUUUGUAGCAUGGCCGCGUGGUACAGGAGCUUCUGCUCUCUCAGUGUCCACUUCCUGUCAGACCGGGCAGGUAUAGGAAACAGAAGAUCCUGUACCGCGGUCCACUCUGCUCUGCCACGCUACAUUGAAUGACUGGUAGGAGGGAGCACUGUGCACUUCCUUCCUGCUGGUCACUCGAAUCUUGCACCCCCGAGAGUCGGUGUGCCCUAAGGCAGCCACUUGUACGCACCGUCCCUGCAUACAUACAAUACAUAUAACAUCAUACAUACAGGGAUUCUAGGAUAGAAUAUUGCAUCAUCACAGGUGGUCAAAAUACAUGGAUCAGAUUAAUUACAGGCAGAUUGGAAUUCUGUCUGUCUGUCUUCCUAAUCUACCAUGUUUAGAGUGUAAGCUCGUUUGAGCAGGGUCCUCUUCAAACUAUCAUUCCUGUAAGUUUUCUUGUAAUAUUCCUAUUUAUAGUUAAAUCCCCCCUCUCAUAAUAUUGUAAAGCGCUCCGAAAUCUGUUGGCGCUAUAUAAAUGGCGAUAAUAGUAAUAAAUAAGACUGAUUCCAUUCACCAAAUAUUACAUCUUGAUUUUCAUCAAGAACAAAACCAAAACCAAAACCUUGCCAUUACUUUGCUUCACUGAUUUCUAGACUUGAGAACAUUGCACAUCAAAAUCUCAAACAGAACAAAGCUCUAAAAACCUUAUUUCACCUUUUGCAUUAUUCAGGUACAAGUUAUAGGUUUAAAUAUUUACACAUUGUGAUAUAACGAUGAACCACACACGUCACUUGGAAGACAAUCCUUCCUGUUUCUGUUCAUAAUAGGUGUGUAGGAAUGUGGCAGUGGUUCCAAAGUUCAACAUUCUUCACCAAGGAUUGCAGCCGUAUACAAUGUAGUCAUACAUUAUCUAAUACACUUUAUUUGUAUGCAUUUAAAAAGGAUCAGAGAACAGGAAAUGCUUGUUCGGUGUUUGCCAAUAUGAGCAAAAUGUCCAUUGCUCCAGUAUUAUGCUACUUCAUUGGUGGAUGAAUUAAAAAGUGAACUAGUAUACUGCUACUACUGCUGUCCCAAUGUAUGUCAGGCUGUCAAUAUCAGAUCACCAAUAAGAGUUGUAAUUUUAUCAGUGUUAGCUGCUGUGAAAUCAGCACACUCUACUAACUUCUGUACGUUUGGGUGUUAAAACAGUUCUAUCCAUGGCAAUGCGAGCUUCAUCCAGUAUACAACUUUGCUGUUAUUUUGUUAUUAUUUAAAUUCAGUUUUAUUAUUGGUAUUUAUUAGUGGAUUUGGGGCAUUGAUGCUGUCGUUUUUCCUGGUGAUAUACAACAUUGCCAUUUGUGAAAAAUGUAAAUUUUUAUAUUUGAUAGAGAUUAUGCCUUUCAUGACUGACAGCCACUAGACUCAUGAAAGUUUUCAAAAAUGUAGUCUUCACGUUCAACAGGUUCAACGUUGGAUUCAAAAUGUCUUUAAUGCCUUAACCCCGGUGCGGCAUUCUAUAUUGUCCUAAUUUUAAUGAGCUUUAAAGCCAUUGCAGCGGCAUAGAAAGUUGUAACUGCUUUCAGCCCCAGAACCCCUCCGGCUGGUCUGGCCCUCCCAGGCCAUGUGAUCGCUCUCAUAGAUAUAUAUAUAUAUAUAUAUAUAUAUAUAUAUAUUUGUGCUCGGAAUUUAUCUAAUAUGUAAUGGGAUGUAGAAAGAGAAGCAAAGUUGGUUGAGGUGUGCUGAAACCAACGUACGAGUAGGCCUGUAAAAGAGGACCCACAAAGGUGAAUUGUUAAUAUAGAUGGGUGUAGGUGGUUGGGGACAAACAGUUUGCACGACAAAGGUAAGUAGGGGGAGGGGUAGGGUUUAUAUAGGAUAUAGGAUCAUAACUCCUCCCACAAAUUCAGGCCAAAUGGCCUUCCAACUUGUGCUCAGAGUUUAUCUAAUAUGUAAUGGGAUGUAGAAGGAGAAAGCAAAGUUGGUUGAGGUGUGCCGAAACCAACGUACAAGUAGGCCUGUAAAAGAGGGCAAAAGAGGAUUCAAAGAAAACACACUUUAUGCAAGUUUAAACAGCGUGGGUACUGAAAGCUUGUGAGGAGCUUUUACUCUGAUUGAGGUAUAUAUGUAACUGCGCUGAGGAUUGCCCGUGGCCCCGACAGUGAUGUAGACUGGGGUGUAAGAGCUUGAAGCUGCUGAUGCAGCGCUUUGUAACAGAGAGGCCGGUGAAGGAAGCCAUGAUGUAGCUCCACAUUAAUGGAAGGUCAGACGUGAAGUCAGUGGCGUACAUACCAUGGUCGCAGGGAUUGCAGCUGCGACCAGGCCCGGCCCACCAGGGGGCCCGGUCGCCCUGCGACCCGGUGUGUAUGCCACUGUGUCCCCAAGGCUGGCCCUGAUAUCACCGGGCGGGCAGGCAGGCAGUCUGGCGGGCGCACGAGGGAGCACUCUCCCCUGAGUGCUUCCUCACGUGCCUGCCUGCCGGCCUGCCCGCCUGGUGGUACCACUAGACCCCAGGGAAUCCCCUCAGCUCUCCAAAAGGUAAGGAGGCUGGGGGAUUAAAUAAAAAAAAAACGUGAGUGUGUUAGUGUGUGUUAGUGUGUAUGUUAGUGUGUGUAUUAGAGUGUGUGUGUGUGUUAGUGUGUGUGUGUUAAUGUUGGUGUGUGUGUGUGUUAGUGAGUGUGCUAGUGUGUGUGUUAGUGUUAGAGUGUGUGUGUUAGUGUGUGUGUUAGUGUUAGAAUGUGUGUGUUAGAAUGUGUGUGUUAGAAUGUGUGUGUUAGUGUGUGUUAGAAUGUGUGUGUUAGUAUGUGUGUGUUAGUAUGUGUGUGUUAGUGUGUGUGUGUUAGUGUGUGUGUGUUAGAAUGUGUGUGUUAGUGUGUGUUAGAAUGUGUGUGUUAGAAUGUGUGUGUUAGAGUGUGUGUGUUAGUGUGUGUGUGUUAGUGUGUGUGUGUGUUAGUGUUAGAGUGUGUGUUAGAGUGUGUCAGUGAGUGUGUUACUGUGUGUGUCUGUUACUGAGUGUGUUAGUUUGUGUGCGUCUGUUAGUGAGUGUGUGUUUUGUAAGUGAGUGUGUAUGUGUCUGUCUGUCAGUGAGUGUGUAUGUAUGUCUGUCACUGAGUGUGUGUCUGUCAGUAAAUGUGUGUGUCUGUUAGCUAGUAUGUAUGCGUCUGUUUGUGAGAGUGUGUGUGUGUGUCUGUUAGCUAGUGUGUAUGCGUCUGUGUUCUUAAGCACUUACCUUUCUCCAACACCGGACUUCCUUGGUGCUGAGGAUCUCUCUGCCCCGAUCCGCCUCUCAGCUCUGAAUGCGCAUGCGUGGCAAGAGCCACGCGCGCAUUCAAACCGCCCAUAGGAAAGCAUUACUCAAUGCUUUCCUAUGGACGUUCACUGUCUUCUCACUGUAAUUUUCACAGUGAGAAUCGCGGAAGCUUCUCUAGCGGCUGUCAAUGAGACAGCCACUAGAGGCUGGAUUAACCCUCAGUGAAACAUAGCAGUUUCUCAGAAACUGCUAUGUUUUCAGCUGCAGGGUUAAAACUAGAGGGACCUGGCACGCAGACCACUUAAUUGAGCUGAUGUGAUCUGGGUGUCUGUAGUGGUCCUUUAAGUGUAUGUGUAUCUGCAUGCACUGGUGUACAUACCGUGGUCGCAGGGGUCGCAACCCUGCGACCCCUUCGUCCAGGUUCCUGACGCCAUGUGUUGCGGUCCCAGCCCGCGCAGAGUAAGCGCGCGGGGGGGGGCGGGCACGGAUCAAUUUUCGCACCGGGGCCCCAUGGGUUGUGUGUACACCACUGCGUGAAGUAGUGGCUUAGGACUGAUAGUGUGUGAUUGACCUUGGAGAUGUAAAGUGGAGUGACAGCAUAGGAGAUUUAAGUAAGAUGCUUGAUUUGUAGGUUUGGAGAAAAAGGCAAAAAAUAACCAUAUUUAACUGCAAAAGUCUUGAUUCAAGCAAACUCUAAUUGUGACAUGUACAAUAUACAAGGCCCUGGCGUGAGUGAUAGGGUAGUCCUGAAACUGCGUGAACGAGCGCACCAGUACGUGGUGUAAUUGUCUGCUUAGUCCAAGAUUAGCUCAUGGAAUGGUGGUAUCUCGGAUGAUAUGUAGUGUAUGAUAGGGAGUGCCUGAAAGAAGACCUUAAAAUGAGAGCGUGCAAGAGUGUCAGCGGCUGUGUAGUGGACACCAGCAAUGUAAAUGUAGACCAGAAAGAGCUGAGGGGUUGCUGUCUGCCAAAUCAGCCUGUGAAUCAGCCACAGUGGCGGUGAGUAUGACCGCCCUUGCUAAUGAAAUCGCAGGCUGCGGAGUCGUCAGAGCAGCAUUCCACUGCCUUGCCGGUCCAAAGAUGACUCAGAGUGAGGGAGGCCACCACGAAAGGGUAGAUCUCCAACAAAGUAGAGGUCUCUCCAAAGGCCGGCAAGGCAUCCGACUCAGUGGGCCAGGCGUCCCUAACGAGUGGUUGCCGAAAAAAGGCUGUGAACCCUGUGUGUGCUGCUGCGUCUGUGUGAAUUGAAAGUGAGUGUUUUGAAAGUGGGGGAAUGACCGAAGAGAUCCCAAUCCAUUCGGUCGUAAAACUACUCCAAUUGUGUAAAACCGCCCUGGCUGAAUCACCCGAAUGAUUGAGCAGGGGUUGGUACCUUGUGGAGCAAAUUUAAGUAGCCCAGGGACAAGAGACUAACCCUGCGGAAUGAUAUGCACAACAAAGUUGAGCGGCCUAAACCAGGACUGAAGCCCCCUCCUAUUGUGCGCAACACUCCGCAGGAGCAGGACAAAUCCAUUCCUAAUGCGGAACAGAACGUCUGGGAGGCUGGCUUGGAAAGUAGUGGAGUCCAAUACUAUGCCUCAGAAAGCAAGCCUGACCCUGACAGAGGGACCGACUGAAAAGGGGGGGUCUGUAGUGGUGUGAAUACUGUUAGGUGUUUGUGAACCCGUGAAAUCAACAAAAAUGUAUCCAGAACGUGGAUGACUGAUGGACACCUUAAUAUAUUUAGGAGCAGCCAGCAGAGGGUUUCUGCAGAGGGCGGUGCAAAGAGGUCUAUGAUCAAACGUAUUUGGGUACUGUGAAUGGCUACCCCGAUGGGAGUGGUACACCAAGAUGAGAAAAUGUGAAGACCGGAAAGGGCCGAUCGUAAAACCAGCAUAUGAUUGCUGUGGACAGAAGGUGGUCCACUGUAAGUGGGUCAAUAGAUGUAGAUAAUAGGUUAGGGCAUACAAGUGUACCCGUGGGGUUGGCGCCAAGGCCCGUGUGAGACCUUUGUGAGAAACCCGGCAUCAGAAUCUACCAUAUGCCCAGCUGGGUGUAAAUGCAGAUAGUAUACCAGGAUGUCAAUGUUGACCUAGUUAGGCGUAUCUUGGGUGACAGACAGGCUGUAUAUGUGGACUAGGUGUGAGUUCUGGAGCAGAUGAAGCGGAUGUGUGAUACCCUGUAUGUAGUGAAAAUAGCAUACCCCAGCAUUAAAGUCAUAGCUUGCCCGCGCUUUGCGUGGAAAUUAAUGGUCAGCCCCGCUUGUCCUUCUGCCCGCCUCCCAGUCUAGUGCGUGGGAUGAAGGAGUGGUAAGAGGGACUAAACAGUUAAAUUUGUGACAGACCCAAGAAGCCUGGAUAUGUUAAAAGCAUAGUGAUAGGUACCGGGUUCUUGAGUGUGUGCCGAGAGAGGGAAAAGACAUGCGUGGGCCUAACGAGGUCAUGCGUAAUAUUAGGAAUGUAGUAUGAAAGGUUGUAUUCUUUAUCCCUCGUAUAUUAGAAAUUAGACGUAUGUAAUUGCCCAAAUGUAGGGUCGAAAUUGAUGUAAGUAACUGCCCAAAUGAGGGGCCAGAAUUGCCAUAGUGCCCGUAGUGGACUAUGUGUAAACGUAUGGAGUGAAGGCUUGGUGAGGGCCAUGUGUAGAGGUAUUGUAGUGGAAGGCAGAGUGCUUAAUGUUAGUCCUGAGCUGCUGGGUGGCGAAAUAGGGCUGUAUGAGGGGUAUGGAUGUAUAGAACGAACAAAGAAGGGAACAAACAAAGAAAGGGUGAGAGAUUCCUUCGGAGACCCAGGCCUGACUGGUGUGCUGGGUAUUUCGUCCAACAGUAGACCGAUUAUUGGGAUGGAUUCUUGUGACAUUCUGAAAAGAAAUAAUGAUUUGGAUAAGUAAGGUGUCGUAGAGGUGGGGAUGAGACCUCCGGAGAACUGGCCUGCUAGCUAGUGCCGAGGCGAAGAAUUAACCUAGGACCAAGUGACAGGUGAGGCCCUGCUAUUUCCAAGUGACGGUGAGAGGCUCUACCUAUGAUUUGGGCCGAGGGGGUUUUGUGGCCACCAGAACGAGGUGUCAGGAUGUUGGCCUCUCGGUGACAGUAAGAGAUUCAAAACGUGUGGCUGUGACUUGGGAAGCCCUAACUGUAGCCCAAAAAAGAGCGAGCAAGGUGGCAAGCUAUGAGUUGGUCGUGGGGCUGAACCUCUGUGUAUGAGGUGGGGGUGUAGACCUCGCGGACCGCAGUAUUAUUUGGGAAAGCUAGGGCCAGCGCCUAACCCUGAAAGGCAGUUCUCUAACCUGACGGGGCUUGUCUCUAGAAAGGAAGUAUGUAAAGUAUGUAAAUACUGACCUUGAGUGUUUGUCCUGAUUAUUUAGACACUGCUCAGGGCGACUUCAAUAUAUAUAUACUGCGAAGAACAGGUCCAGUCCAGGAACCUAGGGGUAAAAGGAUGCUAGCAGGCCUGAGGCGUGCCACUAGUAUGCCAAGUGUAAAAAUGUAGAACGUAUGGAAAGGAGUGUAACAGCGAAACUGUAGCGUAAGAACCAGUGUAAGCUGAGGGACCUGAACGUUGGUAUAAAUAUUUUGAGACAAGCCCCUGGAUUCCCACAAAUGUGCAUUACUUGUGAAAGAUACAAAGGCAAAGUGAGGCCUUAGAAGGAACGUAAUCGUAGUGAGUAAGAUUAAUGAUACCUGAUGCUGAAACGUCGGGGCCAGGUAGCCUGUUGGUUUGUUAAUGGCGUAGUGAAUCUGCGACAUGGUGCAGGUCUCAGUAAUGAUAUGCAGAAAUGAUAAACAAAUUUAACACAUUAAUAUAAUAGUAAAUGGAGGGUGAGGCAUCUUUAGACCUGGUGUGUUUGAAGUUAGAACCCACUGUGGGAGGUGGGAGUGGAUAGAAAAAAAGGAAGUGGAGGCUGAAUGAGGCCUCAGGAGAAACGUAAAAAUUUUUACCUUUUUCUACCUGAUACCGUGAGACGGGAUACUGGAACCACCUCCUGGAGUUUUCUUGAAGAAGAGUAGUAGAACCUACAACACGUUCAUUAUUUUAAAAUAAGGAACCAGAGUAUUGUGUUUUUAAUAUAAAUAGAGAUUUUAGAAAUAAGAGCUAAUGAACAAAUUGAGCGUGUAGCUGGAUAAAUUUAAGCGGUUUGAUGGGCUACCUAUUGACAUCAAAAAGACGUAAAGGGGCCAACUGUGUCUUUAAGAAAAUGCCCCUAGGAAUUUAUGCAUAAUUAAAUGUGACUAUAGGUUAUGAAUAGUGACACCAUAGGCGUGCGCACGGGGUGUGCCGGGUGUGCCUGGGCACACCCUAAUCCCCGUGGCACGCCUAUGGUUUGAGUCCUGCAGGAACAGCGUUCCUGCAGGCACUCAGUGCCCCCUGUUUCACCUCUUGCCCCUGUCAUGGGAGGGCAAGAGGUGAUGACAGGCGAACAUAGGUGAGUAUAAGCGGUCGAUAUUUAAUACUAACGAAAGAAAAAUGAACGAGUGUAUACUCUGCAGUCGGCUAAUAGCCGCUCAAAUGCAGAAGUACACGAACGGGUAAGUAAUAUAGGGAGCCUAUCCCCGCCUUUUUAGGCCCACGUUGAUGCUUAUGUGUGCGUGCCGAUCCCGUGACCGGAAGCAAGAAAGCCGGGUAACGAGUAAGGAAUACAGCGGGGCAGCUGGUAGACGAGCCCAGAUGUCAGCGGCAGGAGCUGCUGAAGACAGAGUGUUUGUUCGAGGCAGGACUGGCGGGAACAACGGCCGAAAAUGCAGGUAACUAUGGAGACAAACAGCUUGCACGACAAAGGUAAGUAGGGGGGAUAGGGUUUAUAUAGGAUAUAGGAUCAUAACUCCUCCCACAAAUUCAGGCCAAAUGGCCUUCCAGCAUAUAUAUAUGUAUGUAUGUAUUUAUGUAUAUAUGCAUGUAUCAAAAUACACUUAGAAUUUUUUACAUAUAUGUAUAUGUAUAUAUAUAUAUAUAUAUAUCAUAAUAAAAAAUACACAUAAUUACAUAAAUAAUAUUCAUAUAUGAAUAUUUGAUGUGAAAUGAAAGUGACAGUGGGGCUGGGAGGGUGACAGUAUGUGUGGGAGGGUGACAAUAUGGGAGGUGGUGAGUGUGGGGGGAUGUGACAGUGGGGUGGUGGUGACAGUGGGAUAGUGACAUUGGAGGAAAGGGGACAGUGGAGGAGGUGGUGACAGUGUAGGAAGUGUUGACAGGGGGUGGUGGUGACAGUUUGGGGGAUGGUGACAGUGGGGGGAUGGUGACAGUGGGGAAUGGUGACAGUGGGGGUAGUGGUUACAGUGUGGGUGUUGGUGACAGUGUGGUGGAUGGUGACAGUGUGGUGGAUGGUGACAGUGGGAGAAGGGGUGGCAGUGGGGGUAGUGGUGACUGUGGGGAUCGUGGUGACAGUGUGGGAAGUGGUGACAGUGGGGUAGAUGGUGACAGUGGGGGAGGUGGUGACAGUGGGGGGUGGUGACAGUGGUGGUGGUGACAGUGUGGGAAGUGGCAACAGUGUGGGUGUGGUGACAAUGGCUGGAUGGUGACAGUGUGUGAAGUUGUGACAGUGGGAGGGAUGGUGACAUUGGGGGAAAUGGUGACAGUGGGGGGAUGGUGACAGUGGGGUGUGUGUUGACAAUGUGGGAAGUGGUGACAGUGGAAUGAGUUUGACAGUGGGGCUGGUGGUGACAGUGGGGCUGGUGGUGACAGUGGGGGUGGUGGUGACAGUGGGGGAAGUGGUGACAAUGUGGGAAGUAGUGACAGUGGGGGGCUGGUGACCAUGGAGGGGUGGUGACAGUGUGGCAAGUGGUGACAGUGGAGUGAGUUUGACAGUGUGGCUGGUGGUGGCAGUGGGGGGUGACAGUGGGGGUGGUGGUGACAGUGGGGGAAGUGGAGAUAAUGGGGGGAUGGUGACAGUGGUAGUGUGAGGGAUGGUGACAGCUGGGGGUGUGGUAGCAUGUGGAGAGGCUGUGGCAUAGUGAAAUACCUUUUUUUCUGUUAUCCAUUCCCUGGUGGCCCAGUGGUCUCCUCCCUGAUGGCCCAGUGCUCUCCUCCUCCAUGGUAGUCCAGUGGGGUAGGUAGCCAGUCUGCCAGAGGCUCCCUGUCUGCAGCUCCGCCGGGUGCAGAGCUGCAGACUAUGGAGUAGAGAUCUUGCGAUCUCCAACACUUGAUGUGUCAGAGCAUUGCCGUGGUAAGCAACAGCAACAUUCUGUUUUGAGGGGCCCCACACCAGGUGGCAUACAUGACAAGCCACCGGGCCCCCUCAUGAUGUCGGCCCUUAGUCAUGGACCGAGGGCCGACACCUCUGUCAGCCAUUUUAAUUCAUUUGUUAAAUUUUAGUAAUAGGUUCACGUGAACCGGUAAUAACCGGCUGAAUCCCACCACUGCUUCUCUCUCCUACUGGACCCUGGGGGCCACAGGUUGUGAUCCCAGAUGUCCACAUACAGAUUAAUAUUCUCAGAAGCAAGCACACAGACAAAGAUCCAUACCCUCGGAUACACACCCACAGAUACACACACUGACAUGCAGAGACACACUAGUAUAAACCUUGCACCAUGCAGCAGUGACCCCGCACCAGCAUCAUUAAUUCAUUAACUGCAGUAGUUUAAGACCCCUGCUCUACAUAGGAUGUUAAUUUUUAUAACAUUCAUUUGUUGUCCUGGCUCGCUAGACACUUGCUGGUGAUGUGGUAGGAAUGUGGGCUCCUUGUCCUUGUCUAGUCCGAGGUUUGAACAUUUAUACUUCACACCACCUGACUCUUCUGAUGCUUUUUUGCUGGACAACUUUCCAAACACCAUCAAAGGACCCAAAAAAGUCCUCCUGCUGCAUAUCGUCAUCGCUUCCAAGAUCGCAACAGAAUUCCACUGGAAGUCUAUGAACCCUCCCUCAAUUUCAGAAAUGCUGAGUAAAAGUGGGGAAAGAAUAGGAAGAAAUGGCCCAUUGACUCCAAGGCUCCUCAGACUAAUUCAACAAAUCAUAGUCCUCCUGGACGUAAUGGACAAAGACCAGAAAACAGGCCACCAUGGACCCCUCCCCCGCCCAUCCUACACCUUUCCUAACCACUGUCCAUACAGUUCUCAUGUUCAUCCAAAUAUCUUCCAGAGAAAACUCUUGCUUAUACAAUCAGUUGAAUGCACUGCCCUGGCAGCAAAAUAUAGGGUUCAGGGGCAGAUGCCUCCAGAGAUAAUCUGAAUGAAGGACCACUAUGUUUCCACUAUGCAGCUCUUUUGUCAAAUCUUUUCAGGUAUUGUCCAAUGUUGUCAAAUGCUGUUGAAUAUUGUCAACCUUUGCCAAAUAUUGUUUGUACAUCAUAGAAUAACUGCAUUGUCAAUAUAGAAAAUCAAUAAAAUAAUAAAUAAAAAAGAAAUUAAACAUUAGUUAGUUGUUACUUAGAUUCCAUGACUAUUGUCGAUCAUCCUUUCACCAAGUGUAACAAUGAUUCAUAAUUUAAAAAAAAAAACAACAAAUUUUCACAUUUAAAUUCAUGUGGGCAUUAGGCUAUAAUAAGCUAUGAUCUUGAAAUUCCCGAGGUUGGGAAAAGUUUUAUGUGGCAGAUGCACAACAACAUUUUGUCCUCAUAGAAGGCCAUUUUGUGUUGCAAGAAGCCAUAGCAGAAGCUCCUAAUGUUAUCAAUAAUAUACCUGCCACAAAAAAUAGUUUCAGUUACAUGGUGAAUAGUACGGGUGAUAGAGGACAUAUUAGCUUGGUACAACUGGUGAAAUAGAUAACAUCCAAUUAACCACCAAGCCUAGACAUUAGGACAAAUAUAGAGGAACCUGUCCCAUUUUUGCAUUCAUUUACCUGAUGCCCAUUUUCUUCAAAGUAGCUUGGAUCAGUUCAUCCAGUAAAAUGUUUUCUGGCAAAAAAUAUAGAAUUCCAAUGUGUUGGAAUGUGUGAGUGGUAUGUUUUAUAUUAAAUAGUUCCACUCUGUUUUCUAUGCUUCUCAAUGUGUAGGACUAUUAUAUUUGCUGAAAAAGAGUCUUAGUGGAAGAUGUUUUCUCCAGGCAGAGAGCUAUGACUUGACAAAGUUUGGUAAGAGUUAGUGGCUGAAAGUGUUGUAGUAUCGAUAGGUGUUCUUAUGGAAGCUUUGGGGAUUCUUUAGCCCUGGAUCUCUACAGAUAGUGGAUGGGGAGGAGUAUAUUGAUGUUUUAUUAUUAUUAAAAAAUUUACAUCAGGCAGCUUCUUCUCAAAGCAGCCACCUGAUUAAAAAAGGAAGACUAGAAAAAUGUGCCACAAGAUUAAAAUAGUAGGAGGGGUUUGCCCCUCAGGUGAAUCAUAGGAGGGCUUGCUGGGCAAUAGAUCUUAACUGCACACACUCUAUUUGUUAGGUUGUAUGGCAGGAUUAUAUUGAAUACUUGGCUGUUCAACACUUGCCUGUUUCCAGCAAUGGUAUUAUUGAGAACCUGGGGGGCAUCAGCACCACAUGGAUAGAUGGGAAAUAGGGAGGACAAGGCAUAACAUACGUGGGGAUGUGGUAUGACAUGACACCACCUCUCUCCUAAUUUAGAGGUCAUCAAGUUUUGCUUUGUGCUUAGGGGAUCUGCAAUCUUGCCACACCCCUGGUAGAAACAUAGCGGCAAGCCCUUUGUCUUUACCAGGGAUGAUUACCUUUUUUGAUUUUGAGAGUGAUUGAGGAAUCUAGUGAUUCUGCAAUCUUUUUGGUCAAUGAAUUUAAAACAUCCCAUCCAAGUAUUCCUACACAUCUUCCUGAAGAACAUUUCUAAUAACUUAGGAUUAAUGUAAUAAAGUCAUAUAAAGUAAAAGUAAAAAUAACAUAUAUGUGUUCCCUGUAAGGGCAACAAGUGUCCCUUUCAAGGUCUCAAUUCUAUAAAUUGCCUUGCUCCUAUUCUGGAUCCUUUCAGCAAGUAGCAUAUUAAUAUUAAUAGUUAUAGAUAUAUUAUUCUUUUUAUAAUUGAUUAAACAGUUGAGUAGUAUUAUCUGUGCUACAUAUGCUUCUUGUGUUAGAAGAAAGAAAAAGAAUUAGCAGAUGCUGGCAUAAAAAUAUAUUUCUUCUGUGUCUCUGCCAGUCCAUCUUGUGACCAAACAGGAUGCGCUGAAAUUAGGAUAAAUAUGUAUAGUUCACAAGGACACUUGGGAUGUUAGUCUGGAUGUAGAUUAGAUACAAAUUCUUUUGGAAUCCAUUGGAUGAUAAUGAAUAUUUACCUUUGAUACUACUUCCUUUGAACGUGGCUGAAUUGCUGUGUCUGUUUUCAGAGAUUUUCCAGUAAUUUCAGGAUUUUAGAAAGAUAUCCUUAGCUACAGGAGGAGAAAUUUAAAAAAAAAUAUAUUUUUAGAAAUAUAAAACCUUGACUUAAUCAAUGUUAUAGUCUUCAUUCCCUCAAGCCCUAGUGUUGUGUAUUUAAUUGUUUAAAAAUAUGCAAGGCUACAACAUUUGCUCAUUUACUAAAUUAAACAGCCAAUUAGGCAAUCUUAUAAUUCUUACUUUCCUUUUCUAAAUCUUUUCACCCAGUUACUUUGCUCUUGUUUGCAAAGUAGGGUCAUCAAAAAUGUCCCUGGCAGGAAUAAAUGUGACAAAUCAUUGACCUCAUUCGUCCAACAGGGCUAUGAAGAUUUAAAGCCGUAGACUGGUCACCAGACACUGCUUUAAAAAUUUUAUUUUAGAGCAGAAAAGAUGUUUCUACGACUUUAAUAUAAUGAUGUUACUAUAUUUGCUUUCAUUUUAUUGAAAACUUUAAUAGAGCAUAAUAUGAGCCUCCUGUCUGAAAUAAAACAGAUUUUCCUAACAAAAUGAUGGAAAGGCAAAAUUUUAUUAAAGACAGGAGGUGAAUAUUAUCUGUCCCUGGUGAUAUGUCGUCUUUUGUACAUUUUUCUUUUUAUGGCAGUCAAUAUAAAGAAAGAACUUUCCAUCGUAAAAAAAAAAUAGUUUUGUCAAAAAAUACAGAUAAUGGUUUAUAGGACUGAUAUUGACAUUAUGUUUCACAUGAUUGGCUGUCCCAUUUUCAGCAACCUUAUACAUGUUUUACUUCACAUUUGUUUAUAAAGUGUUUACUUGUAAUGCUUUUUAUUUGGCUUUUUGUUUUGUUUUUAAGACCAGAAAGUUCACAUUUAUUUAUUUUAUUUUUUUUAUUUAUUUUUUUUAAAGUAAAUUCUUUUAUUCAAUUUCUUACAUAUAUACAAAUAUCAACACAACACCACAAAUCACAUAACAUCUAUUACACCAUUAAGACAUUCACAAUAUACAGACAAAUUACACUGUUAUCUGCGGGAUCGGGCUAUUAUAAAAAUAUGUCUUAGCUCAGGACUCUUACUCCUCAAGCAUUACCGGAUCUAAUGGUUAUCUGUUUAAUUUAUAUAGUAGGUUCUAUUUUAUUAACCCAUCUUUUCCAUAGAUCCCUUCUCUUUGGGGAAUUCAAAUAUGGCAUACUUAGAUCUCUUUCCAUCCUCAUCUGAAGGAUGAUUUGAUCUUUAAUGGCAUCCCAGUAAGCUGCUUGAUUAGAUUUCCAGUUCCGUGCUAGAACAAUUUUAAAUGCAACAAGACAAUGAAUUAUAAAACAACUAUUUGUAUAUGACAUAUUCGGCCAAUGCAUAUGUAACAAGACUACCUCUGGUUUCUUUUCUAAUUCUAUUCCAGUAUUAUAUUUAAUAAAUCCUAUCGUUCUCUUGAUAGAGGUCUGAAUAUUUGAACAACUCCACCAAAUGUGGAGAAAUGAACCCUCCUCUUUAUCACAUCUCCAACAUCUAGAGGUUACUCCAGGGUACAUCUGAGAAAGCUUGCUAGGAACCAAAUACCAUCUAUACAUAACCUUGUAGUAAGUUUCUAAUAAAUUUAAACAUUGGACCUGUCGACGAGUAUUAUUUAUAGCUUUACACCAAUCUUCUUGUUCUAAGGAACACUUCAGAUCGUUUUCCCAUUUAGUCUUCUGGGGGAAAUUAACUACCUCAUUAAUAUUUCUAAUUAUCUCUAUUGCUUUAGCUAAAACUUUUGAUAUAUUCUGAUUUGAAAAUAUGCGUUUUAUCAUUAUAUGCGCUUUUCCAGAAUCUUUAUUAAGAUGUUUCUGUAAAAAAUGUUUAAGCCUCAAAUAUGCAAAUAACUCUCGUUGAGGAAGAUGAUAUUUUUGUACUAUAAUAUCAAAAGGCAAUAUUUUAUCUGAGUUUAAUAUCUGUGAAACUUUAUUUAUUCCUUUAAGUCUCCAAGUUUCUAGAGAUAGAUCUUUCAUAUUGGCUUCUACUAUCCUUAAAUUUGCCGUAUCCAUAAUUGCAUAUUUGAGGCCUAUUUUCUUUUUAAUUUCCUCCCAGACAGGCAACAAUUGGGCCCAAAUAAUGUUAUUUUUAAUAUCUAUCCCCAUAUUGUCUAGAGUUUUCGUAUUCCAUAGCAAACCUUCUGGAUUUUUUAGUCUCAGAUCUUCCAUUUCGAUACUAAACCAGCUUUCUUCUUGAGCUGUCCCCGUCUGGGACCUAUACAUAUGAUUGAUCACAUUUGCCCAGUAUAUAACUCUUAUAUUAGGAAAGUUUAAACCUCCUUCCUUAAUCUUUAGUGAUAGGAUGUUUCUAUUAAUUCUAUUUUUCUUACCAUUAUUAAUGAAAUUUUCUAAAUUGUUCUGUAAUAACGUCAACCAUAUGUCUGGAAUCCUAAGUGGAAUCAUCUGAAAUAGAUAGCUCCAUUUAGGAAUAAUAUAAGAAUUGAUGACAUUAAUACAGCCCCACCAAGUAAUCUGCAUAUUAAAUUUAGAAAGUUUUCUUCCAUCAUCCUCUCUAUAUUCUUGGUAACCAAUAUUCCUAAGCAAUUAAAUUUCUGAGGUGUCCAUGUAAAUACAUAUUGCUUACUAAUUUCCUCUCUUAUCUUCUUAUCUAAUUCAACACUCAUCACAACUGUUUUUUCAUUAUUUAAUUUAUAAUUUGCCAAAUGGCUAUACACUCUAACUUCCUCCAUCAGAUAGUUCAAAGAGCUAGCUGGUUCAGUAAUUGACAAGAGGAUAUCGUCUGCAUAGAGACUUAUUUUAAAUUCUCUAUCUCUUAUUCUAUAUCCUUUUAUAUCUACAUUUUUCCUAAUAUUUUCCGCUAAGGGCUCUAUUGAAAGAACAUAUAGUAAUGGCGAAAGUGGACAUCCUUGUCUCACCCCAUUAUUUACUGAUACCCAAUCUGAACAAAUAUUUGGGCCUACUAUUCUAGUUGAAGGAUUUUUAUAUAAAGCCAUAAUACCCCUUAACAACCAGCCUUCUAUUCCAUAUGCUUCUAAAGUUAAUUCUAAAAACUUCCAGUUUAACCUAUCGAAGGCUUUUUCUGCAUCAACUGCUAAGGUCAUAAGAGGAAUAUGUUUCUUAUUAGCAUUAUCAAUUAUAUCGAUGAUUCUUCUUGAAUUAGAGCCUAUCCACAUAUCUGGAAUAAAACCUAUUUGAUCAUUGUGAAUGAGCUUAUUAAUGAUACUCUUAAGGCGGUCUGCCAAUAUAGAUGAGAAUAAUUUAACAUCUGAAUUAAUUAGAGAGAUAGGGCGAUAACUGGCCACAAUAGUUGGAUCUUUUCCUUGUUUCAAGAGGGGGAGCAUAUUAGCUCUAGUCAUCUCUUCAGGAAAACUUCCUAUUUGAACCGCAUUAUUGAAUGUUGAUGCUAAUUGUUUACUCAAAAUAGAUUUAUAAGUAUGGAAAAACAAAUUAGAGAAUCCAUCUGGGCCUGGUGUUUUCGACUUCUGGGUUUUAGAUAUAGCCCUAUUCACCUCAGCUUCUGUAAUCGGAUUAUUAAUACUAUCUUUCUGAAUCUGAUCUAAUUUAGUUAGAUUUGUACUAGUUAAAUACUGUUUGAUCUUAUUUGUAGUAGCUUCAACAGGGAGAUUAUAUAGUAACCCAUAAUAAUCUCUAAAGCAGUCCCCAAUAUCUUUUGGGUUUGUAUAAAUUAUUUGAUUAUAUAUAAUCUUAGAUAUACGAGCAUUAGCAUAUUGUUUCCUCAAUUUAUUAGUUAGCAUCUUAUCUGUUUUGUUCCCUCUACAAUAGAAUCUCAAUUUCAGUUUUUUAAUAUUUUCUAUUGUUUUAGUAUUUAAACAUUGCAGAAUAUUUUUUUGCACUACUGAUAUUCGUCUGCCUUUCUCCAUUGUGGGCUCUGCUUUAUUAUCUGUUGUAAGCUUAUAAAGUUCAAUGUAUAGAUCACCAAGUCUCUUUUCUUUACUUUUAGCUUCAUGGUUUAGCUUUAUAAGAUAGCCUCUUACAACUGCUUUAAAUGAACACCAUGUAUUCAGAUAUGAGGUUUCUAAAGGAUCAUUCUCCCUAAAGAAACAUAUUAUCAGUUUCUCUAACUUAGUCUUACUCCUUUUAUUAUAUAACAAAUAGUUAUUUAAUUUCCAUGUUGUAUUAUUUAUAGCUGUCAUCUUAUCUUUUAUUUCAAAUAUGUACAUACUAUGUAAAACACAAUUUUAGAAAGGAAAAGCUGAUAAAAAUGCUCAAAUCACCAAGUGUGAGUCACUCCAAAUCACACAAAGAACCAUACAAUACAAUAAUAAUAUAGUGAGAGCAAACUCUAUACACCAGAUAAAAUGGAUAUAAAAACAGGCAAUAUUACCAUAUGGCUGCAAUGUCCUAAAAAUAGAAAAUAGGGAACAUAGUAUAGCCUGUAUAGAAUAUACAAAAAAUAAUACAAUGUAAAAUUGUCCACUCACGUGGUACUGAGCCGUUCAGUGGCUCAGACUAUAGGCGCCUUGUAAAAAUAUGGAGACCACAAUGCUGGAAAGGCAAAUCUCUGUAGGAAUUCCCUUUUGUGACUAAAUGGAAAGUCGAGUCAGGAAAUACAGGAUCAAAUUUUAUUCGCCAACAAUCGCAUAUAAAAUGGAAUCUCUCAAAUUAUUGCACUAACGCGUUUCAACCUAAACGGUCUUUAUCAAAAUUAAUAGUCCAUUGAGUAGGACAAAUUUUACAUUAAUUAUUUUUGUAUAUUCUGCAAGGCUAUAUACUAUGUUCUUUUCUAUUUUUAAGGACUUGUGCAUACUAUGGUAAUAACGCGCAUUUUUAUAUACAUACUAUGGUCAUUAUACAUACAUUUCCACUAAUCUACCAAAUUGUCUAUUAGAGUUACAUUACCCCAGAUCAUAUCGAUUCUUGAGUAUGUAAAAUGUACUCUAGAUAGAUGGGUGUAAUCUCUUAAUUCAGGACUUUGAAGAUGCCAAGCAUCGAAUAAAUCAUAAUUGUUUUUCGUAUUGGUCAGUAAACUCGCAUUUUUAAUUAUUGUUUUGUUCAUUACACUCCCUUUCAGCAGUUUUUUAUCCUUUUGUGGAUCCAAUAUACAAUUAAAAUCUCCUGCUACUAUAUAUAUCCCAGUUUUGACUGAAUCCGCUUUAUCUAAUAUUUUCUUCAGUUGAGAAACUGGAGCUACAUUUGGUAGAUAUAUGUUAACUAUCGUAUAUUUAACAUCAUUUAUCUUACCUACUAAAAUCAUAAAUCUUCCUUCUUUAUCUAAUUCCUGGUAAAUGUUCUCCCACUUAACCCUAUCUGAAAUUAUCAUUGCUACACCUCUUUUUUUUUUAUCCUUCAUGGAUGCAUGUAGAAAGAUUGGGAGCUUAUUGCCUCCCCAUGUUAAUUUCUCAUUUUGUCUCCUGAAUUAAACAGAUAUCUAUUUUUUCUUUUAUCAUUUUAUUUCUUAGCAGAGAUCUUUUAUACAUCGUAUUGAGGCCCUGAGCAUUAAUAGACAUAAAUUUAACCAUAUUUUAAUCCUCUGCCUCCAUUUUCAUCCCUUCUGCCCUUAAGACCCCGCAGAUAACAGACAUUUAUCACAAACAACAUUACAUUGAUUAAGGACAUCUUGUCGUCCUACUUGUUGACCCAUCUAACAGAGAACUAACCCUAAUUCCUGUAGAUAGACCCCGUCCCGUGAGAAGCCAGCUACUCCGAGACUUAUGCUAAAUACAAGCAUCAGGCAGAUCUAUAUUUUGGAGUCAUGAGGCCCGGGGGGAGGAGGGGGAGAGAAAAAAAAAAAUCUUUAUAUUACAUUAUAGAACUGUUACCAAAUGGUUCUCUUACAGUUAUUAUUUCUCUAUAGGCACCCUCUUCCUCCCUUUCCCGUUUUCUGGUUCUUCUUCUCUCCCCUUUCCCUUUCUCAUUAAAUUUUUUAUAAAUUACUAUAGCAUAUUUGAAAAGGAGAAAAAAAAAAAAAAUUGCUGGCAAUUUGAGAAUCAAACAAAGUUUUAAUGAUUGAUAAACUUAUAUGAAUUGCAUACAGGCAAUAAUCCAAUAAGAAGAAAGUGCAGGUUAUCAAACAAUACAAAGUUCAUUAAUAAGUAUUUCCUCAGAGAAGUUUUAAAUAAGAUUCUUUAGGUUGCUGGGAAUAAUCUUCAAUAGAAACAUUAAGCAGGUAGCAGAGAGUAUUUGCAAAGCAAGAAACAGUUCAUAGUAAAUAAGCAUGAUGGGAGUUGUCCUCCAUAUAAUUAGUAACUUGAAGCAGAGAAGAUUUGAGCAAGCAGGAAUUGGUUCCAAAAAACAGUUCAUAGUAAAUAAGCAUGAUGGGAGUUGUCCUCCAUAUAAUUAGUAACUUGAAGCAAACACUGGCGGAUCCAGGGGGGGGGCAACGGGGCAAUUGCCCCCCCCGAGAAAUCCGCCGGUCUCCCUCCCCUGCCAGCACAUGCAGGUGCUAGCCCUGCAAUGUGCCUGCGGACCGGAGGGAGAUCACAGAUCUCCCUCCCCAGUCCGCAGACACUGUGCUGGCAGCCGGCAGGGGAGGGAGAGGGAGGACCCGGAGCUCAGGCUGCAGCUCCUCUGUUCUUCACAGAUGGGAGCUUGGCUGCUGCUGUCAAGUAGCAACGCCUAGUUCAAGGAGUGAACUCUAGCCCGAGCGCGGGCUAGAGCUCACUCUCCCCACUGGGACCACCAGGGAAUCACCACUGGGACCACCAGGGAUCGAAAUAUGUCCCCCCCUCCUCCCCAGUAAAGGUAAGAAGGGAGGGGGGACAUAGGAUAUAUAUUUUUUUAAAAAUUAAAUAUUUAAAAAUAUAUAUUAUAAAAAAAAGCCCCCCUCCCCUUAACACACACACAUAUACAUUGCCCCCAUGCUGCCCCCCAUACACACAUGCUGCCCCCCAUGCUGCCCCCAUACACACAUGCUGCCCCCCAUACACACAUGCUGCCCCCAUACACACAUACUGCCCCAUGCUGCCCCCCAUACACACAUACUGCCCCGCAUACACACAUACUGCCCUCAUACACACAUACUGCCCCUCAUACACACAUACUGCCCCUCAUACACACAUACUGCCCCUCAUACACACAUACUGCCCCUCAUACACACACACUGCCCCCAUACACUGCCGCCCCAUACACACACACAUUGCCCACACUCACACACACACACUGCAACUGUUACACACACAUACUGUCCCACACAUACACUGCAUCCCUGACAUACACUGCCCCCCCUACUCACACACACACUGCUCACACACUGUCCCCCUCACACACACACUGCUCACACACUGUCCCCCUCACACACACACACUGCUCACACACUGUCCCCCUCACACACACUGCACCCCUUACACAUUGCACCACUCACACACACCACUGCUCCUAUGCCCUACUACCGCCCCAUUUCCCAGCAGACCUCAGGUAAGUUGUCAAACUGUUCUUAAACGGUUUGACUACUUACUCUAGGAGCGGGUCCCGGCACUAUUGACACCAUAACCACUACACUGAGCUGUAGUAUUUAUUGUGUCUGGAUUAUUUCUUUAAAUAAUCUACAAGUGCCCCUCCCGAGAUCAGGCUCUGGAUCCGCCACUGGAAGCAAAGAAGAUUUAAGCAAGCAGGAAUUGGUUCAUUAAUAAAUGAUAUUGCAGAAAAUAGUUGAAAGAUAUACUUAAGGUUAAGGUGAGUUGUCCUCCAAGAGUUCAGAGUUAUAGUCCACUUGUAAAUUAGCAAAGUAUCCGUUCUCCAGUAAUCCUCUAUGGCUUGCAGCAAUCCUUGCAUUGGCUCAAAGGCUGGGACGGCUUGUCAGAGCUUGUGGAGCUGGCGUGUAUACCCGGAAGUAGAUCCCACAUUUACCAUGUGUGGGAGUGUGCUGUGUGUGAGCGAGGGUGCUGUGUGUCUGAGGGUGCUCUGUGUGUGUCUGAGGUUUCGCUGUGUGUCUGAGGGUACGCUGUGUGUGUCUGAGGGUGCGCUGUGUGUGUUUGGGUGCUGUGUGUGUCUGGGGGUGCUGUGUGUGUCUGGGUGCUGUGUGUGUGUCUGGGUGCUGUGUGUGGGCCUGGGGGUGCUGUGUGUGUGUCUGGGUGCUGUGUGUGUGUCUGGGGGUGCUGUGGUGUGUCUGGGUUCUGUGUGUGUCUGGGUGCACUGUGUGUGUCUGGGUGCGCUGUGUGUGUCUGGGUGCGCUGUGUGUGUCUGGGUGGGUGUGUCUGGGGGUGCUGUGUGUGUCUGGUGGUGCAGUGUGUGUCUGGGUGCUGUGUGUGUCUGGGUGCACUGUGUGUCUCUGGGUGCGCUGUGUGUCUCUGGGUGCGCUGUGUGUGUCUGGGGGUGCUGUGUGUGUGUGGGUGCUGUGUGUGUCUGGGUGCUGUGUGUGUCUGGGUGCACUGUGUGUAUCUGGGUGCUGUGUGUGUGUCUGGGUGCUGUGUGUGUCUGGGUGCUGUGUGUUUGUGUGUGGGUGCUGUGUGUGUCUGGAUGCUGUGUGUGUGUGUGGGUGCUGUGUGUGUGAGUGUGAAUGUAUUUUUUAUUUAAAUUAAAAUAUAUUUUUUAAUAAUAAAAAAAAAAAAGUUAUUUCCCCCUCCCUUCUUACCUUUAGCCUGGGAGGGUAGGAGCCAUAUUGCCAUGGGGGGGAGCCUUGUUGCCAUGUGGAGGAGCCGUGCUGCCAUCCUUUCCUGGUGGUGAGAGGUAACCGCGGCAACGCUCAGAAUCCCGCGAGAGCUCUAACCAGCAGCUCCGCCGGGUCCUCUCGCGGGAUUCUGAGCGUUGCCGCGGUUAUCUUUGAUCNNNNNNNNNNNNNNNNNNNNNNNNNNNNNNNNNNNNNNNNNNNNNNNNNNNNNNNNNNNNNNNNNNNNNNNNNNNNNNNNNNNNNNNNNNNNNNNNNNNNUUUUAUUUUUUUUAUUUAUUUUUUUUAAAGUAAAUUCUUUUAUUCAAUUUCUUACAUAUAUACAAAUAUCAACACAACACCACAAAUCACAUAACAUCUAUUACACCAUUAAGACAUUCACAAUAUACAGACAAAUUACACUGUUAUCUGCGGGAUCGGGCUAUUAUAAAAAUAUGUCUUAGCUCAGGACUCUUACUCCUCAAGCAUUACCGGAUCUAAUGGUUAUCUGUUUAAUUUAUAUAGUAGGUUCUAUUUUAUUAACCCAUCUUUUCCAUAGAUCCCUUCUCUUUGGGGAAUUCAAAUAUGGCAUACUUAGAUCUCUUUCCAUCCUCAUCUGAAGGAUGAUUUGAUCUUUAAUGGCAUCCCAGUAAGCUGCUUGAUUAGAUUUCCAGUUCCGUGCUAGAACAAUUUUAAAUGCAACAAGACAAUGAAUUAUAAAACAACUAUUUGUAUAUGACAUAUUCGGCCAAUGCAUAUGUAACAAGACUACCUCUGGUUUCUUUUCUAAUUCUAUUCCAGUAUUAUAUUUAAUAAAUCCUAUCGUUCUCUUGAUAGAGGUCUGAAUAUUUGAACAACUCCACCAAAUGUGGAGAAAUGAACCCUCCUCUUUAUCACAUCUCCAACAUCUAGAGGUUACUCCAGGGUACAUCUGAGAAAGCUUGCUAGGAACCAAAUACCAUCUAUACAUAACCUUGUAGUAAGUUUCUAAUAAAUUUAAACAUUGGACCUGUCGACGAGUAUUAUUUAUAGCUUUACACCAAUCUUCUUGUUCUAAGGAACACUUCAGAUCGUUUUCCCAUUUAGUCUUCUGGGGGAAAUUAACUACCUCAUUAAUAUUUCUAAUUAUCUCUAUUGCUUUAGCUAAAACUUUCGAUAUAUUCUGAUUUGAAAAUAUGCGUUUUAUCAUUAUAUGCGCUUUUCCAGAAUCUUUAUUAAGAUGUUUCUGUAAAAAAUGUUUAAGCCUCAAAUAUGCAAAUAACUCUCGUUGAGGAAGAUGAUAUUUUUGUACUAUAAUAUCAAAAGGCAAUAUUUUAUCUGAGUUUAAUAUCUGUGAAACUUUAUUUAUUCCUUUAAGUCUCCAAGUUUCUAGAGAUAGAUCUUUCAUAUUGGCUUCUACUAUCCUUAAAUUUGCCGUAUCCAUAAUUGCAUAUUUGAGGCCUAUUUUCUUUUUAAUUUCCUCCCAGACAGGCAACAAUUGGGCCCAAAUAAUGUUAUUUUUAAUAUCUAUCCCCAUAUUGUCUAGAGUUUUCGUAUUCCAUAGCAAACCUUCUGGAUUUUUUAGUCUCAGAUCUUCCAUUUCGAUACUAAACCAGCUUUCUUCUUGAGCUGUCCCCGUCUGGGACCUAUACAUAUGAUUGAUCACAUUUGCCCAGUAUAUAACUCUUAUAUUAGGAAAGUUUAAACCUCCUUCCUUAAUCUUUAGUGAUAGGAUGUUUCUAUUAAUUCUAUUUUUCUUACCAUUAUUAAUGAAAUUUUCUAAAUUGUUCUGUAAUAACGUCAACCAUAUGUCUGGAAUCCUAAGUGGAAUCAUCUGAAAUAGAUAGCUCCAUUUAGGAAUAAUAUAAGAAUUGAUGACAUUAAUACAGCCCCACCAAGUAAUCUGCAUAUUAAAUUUAGAAAGUUUUCUUCCAUCAUCCUCUCUAUAUUCUUGGUAACCAAUAUUCCUAAGCAAUUAAAUUUCUGAGGUGUCCAUGUAAAUACAUAUUGCUUACUAAUUUCCUCUCUUAUCUUCUUAUCUAAUUCAACACUCAUCACAACUGUUUUUUCAUUAUUUAAUUUAUAAUUUGCCAAAUGGCUAUACACUCUAACUUCCUCCAUCAGAUAGUUCAAAGAGCUAGCUGGUUCAGUAAUUGACAAGAGGAUAUCGUCUGCAUAGAGACUUAUUUUAAAUUCUCUAUCUCUUAUUCUAUAUCCUUUUAUAUCUACAUUUUUCCUAAUAUUUUCCGCUAAGGGCUCUAUUGAAAGAACAUAUAGUAAUGGCGAAAGUGGACAUCCUUGUCUCACCCCAUUAUUUACUGAUACCCAAUGUGAACAAAUAUUUGGGCCUACUAUUCUAGUUGAAGGAUUUUUAUAUAAAGCCAUAAUACCCCUUAACAACCAGCCUUCUAUUCCAUAUGCUUCUAAAGUUAAUUCUAAAAACUUCCAGUUUAACCUAUCGAAGGCUUUUUCUGCAUCAACUGCUAAGGUCAUAAGAGGAAUAUGUUUCUUAUUAGCAUUAUCAAUUAUAUCGAUGAUUCUUCUUGAAUUAGAGCCUAUCCACCUAUCUGGAAUAAAACCUAUUUGAUCAUUGUGAAUGAGCUUAUUAAUGAUACUCUUAAGGCGGUCUGCCAAUAUAGAUGAGAAUAAUUUAACAUCUGAAUUAAUUAGAGAGAUAGGGCGAUAACUGGCCACAAUAGUUGGAUCUUUUCCUUGUUUCAAGAUGGGGAGCAUAUUAGCUCUAGUCAUCUCUUCAGGAAAACUUCCUAUUUGAACCGCAUUAUUGAAUGUUGAUGCUAAUUGUUUACUCAAAAUAGAUUUAUAAGUAUGGAAAAACAAAUUAGAGAAUCCAUCUGGGCCUGGUGUUUUCGACUUCUGGGUUUUAGAUAUAGCCCUAUUCACCUCAGCUUCUGUAAUCGGAUUAUUAAUACUAUCUUUCUGAAUCUGAUCUAAUUUAGUUAGAUUUGUACUAGUUAAAUACUGUUUGAUCUUAUUUGUAGUAGCUUCAACAGGGAGAUUAUAUAGUAACCCAUAAUAAUCUCUAAAGCAGUCCCCAAUAUCUUUUGGGUUUGUAUAAGUUAUUUGAUUAUAUAUAAUCUUAGAUAUACGAGCAUUAGCAUAUUGUUUCCUCAAUUUAUUAGUUAGCAUCUUAUCUGUUUUGUUCCCUCUACAAUAGAAUCUCAAUUUCAGUUUUUUAAUAUUUUCUAUUGUUUUAGUAUUUAAACAUUGCAGAAUAUUUUUUUGCACUACUGAUAUUCGUCUGCCUUUCUCCAUUGUGGGCUCUGCUUUAUUAUCUGUUGUAAGCUUAUAAAGUUCAAUGUAUAGAUCACCAAGUCUCUUUUCUUUACUUUUAGCUUCAUGGUUUAGCUUUAUAAGAUAGCCUCUUACAACUGCUUUAAAUGAACACCAUGUAUUCAGAUAUGAGGUUUCUAAAGGAUCAUUCUCCCUAAAGAAACAUAUUAUCAGUUUCUCUAACUUAGUCUUACUCCUUUUAUUAUAUAACAAAUAGUUAUUUAAUUUCCAUGUUGUAUUAUUUAUAGCUGUCAUCUUAUCUUUUAUUUCAAAUAUGUACAUACUAUGGUCUGACCAUACAUUUUCCACUAUAUUUAUCUCUACCAAAUUGUCUAUUAGAGUUAUAUUACCCCAGAUCAUAUCGAUUCUUGAGUAUGUAAAAUGUACUCUAGAUAGAUGGGUGUAGUCUCUUAAUUCAGGAUUUUGAAGACGCCAAGCAUCGAAUAAAUCGUAAUUGUUUUUCGCAUUGGUCAGUAAGCUCGCAUUUUUAAUUAUUGUUUUGUUCAUUACACUCCCUUUCAGCAGUUUUUUAUCCUUUUGUGGAUCCAAUAUACAAUUAAAAUCUCCUGCUACUAUAUAUAUCCCAGUUUUGACUGAAUCCGCUUUAUCUAAUAUUUUCUUCAGUUGAGAAACUGGAGCUACAUUUGGUAGAUAUAUGUUAACUAUCGUAUAUUUAACAUCAUUUAUCUUACCUACUAAAAUCAUACAUCUUCCUUCUUUAUCUAAUUCCUGGUAAAUGUUCUCCCACUUAACCCUAUCUGAAAUUAUCAUUGCUACACCUCUUUUUUUUUUAUCCUUCAUGGAUGCAUGUAGAAAGAUUGGGAGCUUAUUGCCUCCCCAUGUUAAUUUCUCAUUUUGUCUCCAGUGUGUCUCCUGAACUAAACAGAUAUCUAUUUUUUCUUUUAUCAUUUGAUUUCGUAGCAGAGAUCUUUUAUACAUCGUAUUGAGGCCCUGAGCAUUAAUAGAAAUUAAAUUUAACCAUAUUUUAAUCCUCUGCCUCCAUUUUCAUCCCUUCUGCCCUUAAGACCCCGCAGAUAACAGACAUUUAUCACAAACAACAUUACAUUGAUUAAGGACAUCUUGUCGUCCUACUUGUUAACCCAUCUAACAGAGAACUAACCCUAAUUCCUGUAGAUAGACCCCGUCCCGUGAGAAGCCAGCUACUCCGAGACUUAUGCUUAAUACAAGCAUCAGGCAGAUCUAUAUUUUGGAGUCAUGAGGCCCGGGGGGAGGAGGGGGAGAAAAAAAAAAUGUCUUUAUAUUACAUUAUAGAACUGUUACCAACUGGUUCUCUUACAGCUAUUAUUUCUCUAUAGGCACCCUCUUCCUCCCUUUCCUGUUUUCUGGUUCUUCUUCUCUCCCCUUUCCCUUUCUCAUUAAAUUUUUUAUAAGUUACUAUAGCAUAUUUGAAAAGGAGAAAAAAAAUAAAAAAUUUUUUAACUCAUUUAUCAAUUAGUGUAAGCAUCUACCUCUUUAUCGUUAUAGUGACUAUUUCUCUGCAAAACCUUUUUCUGUACUUCUGUGAUACUCCCUUAUACCAAAUUUAUCACUUAACUACCUUGAUAUAUUAUUUUAUCUUAUGUCGAAUUGUACUUAAUCUUAAUUAGUACUUCUUCUCCCUUUACCGAUAUCUUACUCUGUAGUGAAUAUAUUAACAUUUGUGAACUUUUCAUAUUUGAUAUUACAAUCUGUCCUUAUACAAAUUUGUACUAACUCUUAACAUACCAAUAAAAUUAUAGUGAUUAUUAUCAACCCAGACCUUUUCUAUAUUUCAAUACUAAAAUUAUUCUUCCCAUUGAUCAUAAUUUAACAGUGAGUAACCAUCUUGUAAUAUUUUCUCCUAUACCUAAUACCAUUCUGACACAUAUUUCUAACAAAAAAAAAAUAAAUAAAUAAAAAUUGUUCCUUUCUUUUUCUCUCUUUCUUUUCCUUCCUUUUUCUUUUAUCUUUUAGAUAAGAUAAUAUUUUUUGACCAGACUUCUUAGUUUUUAACUAAGGUGAAUAGUCUUCUUAUUAUUCGUUGACUUUUUGCUUGAGGUCUUUUAAUUUUAGGAGUAUAAGCAAUUUUAACCAGGCUUCUAAAUUUUUUUUAGUUGAAAUAAAUAUUCUCCAUUUUUCUUCCUCCUGUAUAGUUCUUUUAAACUCAUUUAUCUUGAUAGAGGGUUUGCCUUCCUCAACUUCUUAGGUCUUUUAACCAGUUGUACAAAAAAAAAAGUCCUUUAGUUUUAAGGGAAUAUUGUUUUUGUCCAGGCUUCUAGGUCUUUAGCUGAAGUGAAUUGUCUCCAUCUUUCUUCCCACCACACAAUUAUUUUAGAUGAUUGUACCCAUUUAUAUUUCAUAUUAUUUUGCUUCAAUGGGUCUAAGGCUGAAAAGUGUUUCUCCAAGUUCUUGUUUGCAUUGACAGAUCUUGAAAUAUAAUAAUAUCUUUAAAUUUCUCCGGUAAGUUAACUUUAUUCCUCAGCAAAUUAACCACUUGUUGUUUAUGUGAGUAGGAAAAAAACCAAACGAUAACAUCCCUUGGGUAAUGAGCUGGGACCUCACUAGGUUUUCUUAGUCUAUGUGUUCUUUCAAUUAUAGGCAGAAGGGCUUCAUUCUGCAGACCAACUUCUUGAAAAAAAGAAAGCAAAAAAUCUUUCAAUAGAUCUUGAGUUACAGAUUCCGGUAUAUUUCUAAGACGCACAUUACAUCUCCUCGAUCGAUCCUUCAGAUCUCUAAUCUUCAGAUUAAUUUGCUGUAUUAAAACUUCUGUUUGAAUGUUCUCUGUUUGCAGGUUUUUUAUUUGACCUUCCAUUAUAUUAAUUUUUUCUAAUGCAGAACUCAGCUUUGUGUUUAUUUUCUCCAUCUCCAAUUUAAUUAUAUUAGAGCUAUUUAUGAUCUGAUUAGCAAUAUGUGCCAUUUGCUUGUCCAGUUUGUUCACUAAGAAAUCUUGAGAAACGUAAUUCUUCUGUUCUGCAUUAUGAGCAAUUGUUGUUUGUGUAUUCUGAUCUUGAUAUAUCGUAUCGAUAUCCUUAUGACCUAAUUUUUCUUUAUUGGGAGAAAAAAACCCCGACAAUCUUGUUGGCUGAGAGUCAUCCUUUUUAUCUCUAGUUUUUAUUUGUUUCUUAGACGCCAUUUCUGGAGCUUUUAAUCUUAAAAAAUUUUUUUUUUUAAAUGCCCUAUAGCAGUGUGCUCGGGUAUACUCAGAUAUUUUUUAUGUAGAAGCUUUCUUUCUCCUGUCCUUUCUCCUUUUCUUAUCUUUCUUUUCCUUUUUUAAAUAUGCACUAGUUAUAUCAAUGAUGUAUCAAUGAUGUGCAUAGGUGGUGUGCAUUAGCAAUAAUUAAAAACAACUGACAUAAACAGCAUGUAUCAUAUAGCAUAUAAAACAGUCCCACGCUUAACAGGCUUCUUAACAGCUUUCUCCGUAGAGUUUCUCAAUAAAUUUUUCAUGCACUUAUCUUUAAGCCGUAAUUUGCUCUCCCGUUUUAUGGGCUUCUUUUAGCCCCCUCUGAUUCUUCGGUUUUUCUGCAUCCAACCUCGUGGGGUAAACCGUCUUAUGCUGUUGCGAUUAAAUAAUACUGAGUAUGUCAGGAUCUCUCUGGAUCCACUCUAGGCUCUGAGCUCUGGACACACACUGGGGUACUGUCCUCACAUCCAAAACCGCUUUGCCCUCGCAUCCAAAUUUCUCAUCUACGCCAACUGCUUCGUCCUCACCAUCGGACCUCGCCUCCCCUCACCUUCCCCUUCCGCGCCUCACGUACUCCUCCUAGACCCGCCUCUCGACGUGCUCACGCACUCAUGUCAUCACGCUCCCCUCCAUAGAAAGUUCACAUUUAAAGGCUAUUAUUAGUACGUAGAAAGAAAACAUAAUUUUGUCUUUCACCAACUUAAAAAUGUGUGAAGUUUUUGGUACCUUUAAAAAAAAUAUAAAAAUAAUAACAACAUUGAGGAACAGGUUGAAAAAUAGCUUAUUAUUAUUUUUAUAAAAGAUAAAUAAUGCAAGGAGUUCCACAAGGUUAUAGUUUAUUUUGAUGCAAAAGUCUGCAUGUUUUCUUACUGUCAUUUAGUACAUUGUUUGGAAGAAAAUGUCAUGCUACACUGUAUUAUAUUGCCUCUUAUGUAUAAAGCUGUCCGUUAUGUGUUAAGAAAUGCACAGUUAUGAUAACAUUUUUAAACGGUAUGUUUAUAUACAGCUUCUACAGUGCUUUCAUCCUGAAUCUAUGUACCCCUUGAAUAAAAUAUUUAAGACAGAAAAUUAUUAAUUGUUAUGAAUUAUAUCAGGCUGACCAAAAUCAGAGUAACAUAGAGGCUAUUGGAUCAAAAGCUCCGGGGCCCACAUGUUACUAUAUGCCCAACCAGCAUGGUGUUUUUUUGUGAUCAGUAGCUCAUGUGGAAUGCUGAAUGUCUUAAUCAUAUUAUGUAACCAGGGAUCUACAGAGAUCCUCUUCCAUUUAACUGUACACUGCCGAUAACAUCUAAAAAUGCCAACUCACUCACAUUACAAUACAUCUCUAUGAGCAGAUGCUGAUUGGAGCAGAUGCUGAUUGGAGCAGCACUGCAUUUUACUGCACAUGAUCAAUAGUCUCCCAGUACUUUCCUACGGGAGGCAUAGGAUUGUCUGAGAUGAUCAUCUUUGAUGAUCUCAGCAAAGAAGGCAGAGUGAGGUGGGACAGCUGCAAGGAGACCCGAGAGGCACUGGAGUAAAGGUGACUACCUUUGUUAAUGGUGGGCAAGGGCGGGUGGUGACCGAAAUGGCUAUUUUUAACCUAUAGUGUCAGGAAUACAUAUUUUUAUUCCUGACACUAUAGUGUUCCUUUACCAGCUGGAGGUUCCAAAAUAUACCUUAUACUCACAAAACACAGGAGGCGCACAUAUCUGUGACCCAUAUGAAAGAUUAUCUGAGCAGGCUGAAACGGAUCUGGGUACCUCCGUUGAAGGAUGCUCCUAGCGCUUCCUGAGCACUCCAAGCACUGCAGCAGACACCACAACCACCAAACUGGAGAAGCAUACGAAUGCUCUCAAGCAUAUGAAUGCUGUCAGCAGCUGAACAGGAAAAGCAUACAAUCAGCUUACACUCCUGGCAAUCAGCAUACAAUCCAAUUCCCCCAAUAACGAGACGACACUUCGUUUUGAGGUCAAUCAGAACUGCCUGUACUGGCACAUACAGCCUCUUUUAUUCACAAUCCACAAACAUAGUACUGCACACAGGGUUUUGAAAUACAACCAAUCAAUCCGUGCAAUACACACAGACACUCCCACACAAAAUCCUACCCUCUGCCUGUGAUAUGAUUACUGAACACAAUGGUUAAUAUAAUUAUCACAGGCAGAGAAAUACAGUAUUAUAAAACAUAUCACAGGGACCUCAAAACAUCCAAUAACCCCAUAAAAGUAUAUCCUCGGAACCGGGGGAUCUGGGUGAACCACAUAUCCAAAAUUCACCCAGAUCCGUUCAGUAGUUUGGAAGAUACGGUUUAAUGCAGAUUCCGCAGAACAUAUACAGGCUAUAUGAAAAAUAAUUACUGUUAAAUGUGUCCCCUGUUCUGUAGUUUAAAACUACUGCAUGAUGUCUUUGUGCACCAAAUACCGGCGAGAUGGCACCGUGUAGAAAAGUCCAAACAGUGUCUGUGAGUUAAAAUGGCCGCCAUCCAUUGUUCUCACCAUGUGCUUCAUCCAUUGUUCUCACCAUGUGCCUCUGAUACAUGAAAUGGUGGCCACCCAGUAACUCCACAGUAUGUCCCAGAUGGUUCUUAAAGGGCCAGCAGCAGCACAACACAAAUCCAUUAUGCCCAAAUCAUGUCUUUAAAGGGCAAUACAUCCCAGGGGCCAUAGUCACAUGGCAGGAGGCUGGCAAUCAGUCUUCUCCAAUGCCCAGUGGCGAGGUCGGUUUCGCCACACAGGCAUUUGACUCAUAUUUUUGCUUCCCCCAGUGGAUUUAUUUGUGUUGCAAAAAAAGAUUUUGGGUGUGAAAAAUGUGAGCUGGAAAGUCUAGUUCCUGUUGGUGUCAGGUGUGCACUUUUCUAAUAUCUUCUACUUCUCCUUUGUAUCUCCCUCGGUUGGAGUUCCUCAAAGCUUUGAACUGGGACCUCUUCUCUUGUCAAUUUACACUUCAUCACUUGGCAGCCUAAUAUUAUUCUAUGGCUUUCAAUAUAACUUGUAUGCUGAUGAUAACCAAAUGUACAUCUCUUCAGUAGAUCUCUCUCCUAGUCUGCUAGACCGUGUCACUGAUUUCAUGUCCUCUGUUUCCAGCUGGAUGACUUCAUGAUUCCUAAAACUCAAACUCUCCAAAACUGUCCUGCUUGUCUUUCCAUUCUCAAAGUCCUUUUUCCCUUAAGGUGAAUAGAUCUAUCAUAACAUCUACUCACAGGUACCUUUCCUUUGUGUGCUCUUUGAUUUUGAACUUUCCUUUACCCCUUGCAUAAAUUCUGUCCCCAAAUCCUUAAAAGAAUUUAUUGCGUUUGCCCUUUUCUUAUUCAGGUCCCAACCAAGACACUUGUCCAUGCUCUUGUUGUGUCCUUGAUUAUUGUAACCCUCUGCUUGUCAGGCUAAAAAGUGUCCAGAUUGCCCCUCUACAGUCCAUAAUGAAUACCUCUGCCAAUGAGAGUCUGACAAUUCUCACACCUCUUCUUUCUGGCAGUCUCUACUCUGGCUUCCUGCUCCAUUUAGGAUCCAGUUGAAAUUUCUCAUGCUUAAUUACAUAACUGUACCCCUGCUUAUAUCUCCUCCAGUGACCUCUUCACUCCAUCGACGACCUGUUACUGUCCCGUUCUCACAUCCACACCACAGACUCUUGCCUUCAGGACUCCAGGGCUGCUCCCAACUUAUAAAAAUUCUCACCUAUAGUAUUUUCGACUCUCCUAAUCUCUGCAGUCCUUCAAAAAAUCUCUAAAAAUAUACUUCUUCAUAUAUAUUUCUUUAUUUCCUUUGUGCAUUUGUCAUUCAUUCCUUUUAAUUGUAUGCUCACUUCACCUACUGUGCCCGUAUGUCAAACAUAUUUUGAUAGAAUUAAAUGUUUAUCUUGUUUACCUAUUCUUCAGUGCUGCACAAUCUGUUGGUGCUACAUAAAUUAUUGUAAUUGUAAUUCUAAGCACAAGCAAACAGAAACUCACAUUCUAAUCUUGCAAGUAGACCAGCUCUAAAUUGCCAGUGAAGAACCUAAUCUAAUACUAAGGUGGAUUUUGUUAGAGGCCAAUGGUGUAAUGGGAAAUUAUAAAAAUGGCCCAUGUCAUCAGUAACACCACCAGUACUGCAAGAAUGAGAUGCACAAAGCACACUUGAUGGCCCUUAAGGGAAUGAUACAGUUGAUGUGCUUAUUCAUAGAGUCAACUAACAAUUUUCAAAUUUGUUUAUUGUCAAAUACAGAAAAAGCAUUUGAUAAGAUCAACAUGUAUUAGGAGAACACACACUGAUAGCCUGUUGAGUCAAAUUUUUUCUUUUUAGAACAAUAUAAGAUCUUUACACAUAGUCUGUUUACAGUUAGUCUGGGCUUAAUAUUGUUGUUGUUCUACAUAGAAAAUGGUAAGUGGUAUGCUAGGUUUACUGCUAUUUACUUUUACAGUACAACCAUUUGUUGUAACAAUUAGAAUCUCUCAGACUACAUAAGGUUACAUAAAGGGUUGAAUUUAAAAAGUGUAUGUAGAAAAUGUAAUUUUAACUAGAGCCAGAUUGAGGUUGCCCAGGGCCCUGGGUAUGGUGCCAGAUUGGGGCCCCUUCAUAGAGUCCGGGGCUUUGUUUCUGUAAGUGGUGUUGACUGAGUGUUGUGCAUGUAGGAGGGUAAGAGCUGUAUGGAGAAAGACUGAUUGUCUCUGUGUGAUGACUGAAUUGCAUGUGCAUGUAGGGAAGUCUGAAUAUGGCUAAAUAUGUCUGAGUGGUAUGUGUGUAUGUAUGAUCACGCUCCCUCCACCACACUCAUUCAAUGUAGUAAAACAGGGUCAUGCAAGGAGAUCUUUUGAUCUCCUUUCCGGCUCAAGGAGGGCCAGCCUAAUGGGAAAUCCGUCUCUGAUAUUCACUUUCUUUUUUUUCUUUUUUUUAAUUCUUUUUUUUUGCAGUGCCUAUGAAUAUGACAAACGCACAUGGUGUAACCCCAACGGCAAUCCUCAUGCUUUUUUAAAAAACAUUGGUAACAUUGAGGUAUCAUUAGUACUUGCACAAUUUUCAGUUAGGAAGAGGUUUAGUAGGAUUAUCAUAGGCUAGUUACGAUAUAAAGCAGGACAUGGAAGUUGCAAGGCAUUCAAUUAAAUUAAACCGCACCAUAGUCAAGCAGAAUGUAGAGUACAGAAUUGCGUGUCUAGUCAGAUUAUGAGUAGAGGAAUGCAAGACAGGACCAAUUCUCUGACAUGGUAUCUGAUUCAACAAAGGCAAAAACAUGCAUAAUAUGUGUCAACAUGGUAUCAUCUAUGAUUUAUGGAUAUUCACUUUCUUUAAUGAGUCUUUUAGUUCAAACUCAUCCAACAAUUCAUAAUUUAGUCCAAUUGUGAAUUAUUUCUUAACAAAUGUGAACCUUCAACCCUUAAAAUUGAGCCACAAAGAGGACAACAGUGACAAAGAAAUCUACGUAGGUGGUGGCUAGCAUGAGCUUUUAAAAAAUAUAUAAUAAACAGUUUAAUAAAAUAUAACAAUUAUUGGGUAAGGAACUUAGGCUAUGCAUAGUAAGAUGGGAAGACAAUCUCAUGAAGCAAUUCUUAGCAUUGCACUGGCCAGUUAAAAUUAGAGUUAUGCACAGCAGAAAAUUUAGACUCGGCCAAAUCACUUCAGCUAAAAAAAUAAAUAAUAAUAAUUCAGAAACGGGGCUGUGGCCUGACCUGCUUAGCAAGCAGACAUGUGUUCUGGAAGCUCCUGAUAUGUUUACUCAUCAUUUUAUCUGCCCAAACUCCAAUUCUUUACACAGCUAACUAAUAUGUCACCCGCUAAACAACAUCAAUCUCUAGAGGCGCGGAAGAGAGAUAAACAGAGGGAGAACAUAGGUGGUGGCCACCAUAAGUCGCUGUUGCAUUGUUGGACAUGGUGUUCACAUCAAAGAUUGGGUGCAGCUGUCAUAGACCCGAUUGGCCUCAGAGAGCAAGAUACACGCUAUGCUACAGGACCUGUGAACUACCCUGCAUGCAGACGUUUAAGCUCUCCUGUUGAAUAUCCAUAGGGACAUCUAGUCACUGAGGAAGUGGACUGAGUGCAUUGAAACCACUCUGGACAAGCUAUGUGUCACCCAUAAUGAUGAGGUUGUAGAUAAGCUGGCCUACCUGUCCUCAGAGCAUGAGUGAGUGUUGGUGGAUGUGGAAAAUCGCUCACACUGGAAUAAUAUCAUGAUUCAUGGUAUAGGUGAGUCCGUUACCCAGGUUGAGCUCCAACAUUACCUAACCUUGUUCUUCAAGACCCUUCUACUGGUAAUACCUGAUUCCCAAAGGAAUAGGGCCCACUGCAUCCCAAAGCCGCGGAACAUUGAGGGUGAUGUGCCGAGAGACAUUGUGGUUCAGUUACACUAAUACAAAGCUAAGGAGGCCUUGAUGACAACGGCACGCAAAAAUCAUGACUACGGAUUUAUUUGUGAAUUUAUCAGCUGCCAUCAUGGCAAAACAAAAGGAAUUUGUGGAGGUUACUGCAUUGCUUCCCAUAAAUAAUAUUGCCUAGAGGUGGAGUUACUCCAUGAAGCUGCUGAUCUGGUGGGACAGACCUACCAAGGUGGCCAGCAGACCCAGUGAUGGGAAUAUCCUGCUGCAGUCAUGGAACCUGGAUCUGGCGGUCACAGGAGGGUGCUCCCAGACUCCUCAACCAAUGAGAGUGGCCCUGCAAUGAAAAUGUCAAGGAACAUCACCGUUAGCAAUGGAGUCCCAGCACCACUGGACGAGAUGGCGGACCUCAGGACUGUCGAGUCCAGUUAGGUAUGUCCACCCAACUCUGGCGUUCCCUAUUAAUUACAAGGGUUUGGGGUGGUAUAGCCAAGUUUGGGGAAUGGGGUUCGUGGGUAUACACCUGUGUGGGGAAAAAUCAUUUCCAGGGCAGGAACUUUUUUCUAGUUUUUUGACUAGCACAUCACAGGAAUGUACUGUCCCCAGUUUAGUGAUAGUUGGUUGCAUUGUAAGAAAUCCAAAGUUAUUGUUUUGAGAAUAGAAUGUAUAAAAAAAAAAAAAAACAAUAUAUAAAAAUAAAUUUAAAAUAAAUCUAAUUUUUUUUAAAAUUGCUAAAAAAAUAAAUAAAUGAAAAAGGUGAUUUACAUAUAUAAGUUAUGACUUAUACCCUUCACAUGAGGUGUGUCACCCCUUCAACAUGGCAGCAAAUGUUGUAGUUUAUUCCAUUAACAUGAAUAGCCUGAAUAGCCCCCACCAGUGUCGUACUCUUUUCAAGGAAGCUGAAAGCUACCAAGCUGCAAUCAUAUGCAUACAGGAGACACAGUUCAGCAAAGUUGUCCCUCCUCGCCUUUUCUCCAACCAAUAUCAAACAAGCUAUCGUGCCUAUUCACAAAAAAACAACCCAAAAGGCAUAUUCAUACUGUUUUAUAAUGACUUUUCCUUUCAGUUAAACUCCAAAUAGGAAGACUCGGAAGGUCACCUGUUGGUGGUGGAAGGCCUUCUAAAUUGUGAACAUGUCACAAUAGCAUUAGUAUAUGUGCAGAACUCCUGAAUAAGUCACCAUAUCUUGCUCUACUUUGCCACAAUAGAACUGAUGAAGAGUGGAAGGGAAUUCAACUGAACACUAGAGGCAAGGGAUGCAAGGGAUGUUCAAGGAUUGACACUGACUAAAGUGGCGAUAAAAUAAAACAGUAAAUUCCAAGUCCUAUUACACAAAUACUGCCUGCAUGACAUGUGGAUGGAACACUUGUCUACAAGUAGAGAAUAUACCUUCUAUUUUACAACCCAUUUCAGAUACUCGCGUGAUAACCUUUGCCUCGUUUUCACUCACAACCUCCAAUCUUUAGAUAGGGCAUCCAGUCAAGCCAUUACUUGGUUGGACCACACACUCACUCUCUCAACAUUCACCGCAGUGCAGAGGGAUAUGGGCUGUUGAAUAUAAACAAAGCACUGCUCACUGACAAAUCCAUACAAACAUGCAUAAAGGAGUACAUAGUCACAUUUUUUAGCUGUAACUCACAUGACCAGCAACAGAUCCAUACAGCAUGGUUAGCCCACAAAGUUAUCGUUAGGGGUUACUUAAUCCAACAGGGGUCUAUCAGAAAGAGGACAUUACAGCAUAGGGAACAGCUCACAGCCACACCAGUACCUUUACCACAGUCCUUGGCAUACUAUUUGGAGCGAAUUAUAGUUAGUGUCUGUGAGUGCUUCUCCUUCCUUAAUUUAUGACUUUAUAUGAGUUGGCAAUAUUGUCCUAUUGUGUUGCUUUAUCUUUUUAUCUUUUUUACAUGUGAUACUAAAUUUAAGGUAUUUACCUGUUUAAUCCAUUGUAUGUGGAUAUUUACUGAUGUAAGUGGAUUGUUGCACUUUGCUGUUUACACUUUGCUGUUUACACUUUGCUUUUGCACAGUUAAUUAUGGCACUUUGUUGUAUAAUUUCUCAUUAUUGCAUUAGCACCAUUGGUAUAAUGCACAUUAAUAGGUAUUGUUUGCAUUUUAUUCAUUUGUAUUAAUUGUUUCAAUUAUGUUUAUUAUAAAUUAAUUGUUUUGAACAUUGCACUGCACUAUUUGUUUAUUACGUAUUGCCUAUACUUUAUUGCAUGUUUGAUGGCAUUGAUAGAUAAUCAAUUCAGACAUAUGUGUUAUAAUUAUACAUUUAUUAUAUAUAAAAGAUCAUAAGGAUCAAAGUACUGUAUUUAAAGUAAGUAUGUCAAAGUUAAAUGAAAAUGGUGAUUAUGGCUGCCUUUUUGUCUAUUUAUCUCAAUUAAUAAUGAAUUGUAUAUUUCAUAUUAAUUUGCACACAGUUAAAGUGUAUUGGAUGCCAAUGUGACGGCAUUUGUAAGAUUGUUUGGUAAAACACACACACACACACAAAAGAAAAACUACUCAUCCCUCUGUGCUUCCCCAAACACUUGAAUUGGUUUAGGUGAUUUUGUGCUUUGGAUUAUUUUUUUUUAUUGUGAAUGUUACAUAUAAGUGACACAUCAUGUAUAGUGAUGUCGCGAACCCGAAAUUUUCGGUUCGCGAACGGCGAACGCGAACUUCCGCAAAUGUUCGCGAACCGGCGAACCGCCCGAAACGCCAUUGACUUCAAUGGGGAGGCGAAUUUUAAAACACACAGGGACUUUUUCUGGCCACAAUAGGGAUGGAAAAGUUGUUUCAAGGGGACUAACACCUGGACUGUGGCAUGCCGGAGGGGGAUCCAUGGCAAAACUCCCAUGGAAAAAUUACACAGUUGAUACAGAGUCUGGUUUUAAUCCAUAAAGGGCAGAAAUCACCUAACAUUCCUAAAUCACAAUCAAUAUGGAUUGACACCUGACAUAUGACAUACUGACACCUUGACAUAUGGAUUGACACCUGUCCUCAGAGCCCCUGAUACACACUGACACAGAGCAGAAUAGGGACUGUUCCCCCUACAUCGGGUCACUUGGCAGAUAUGGAUUGACACCUGUCCUAAGGUUCCCUGAUACACACUGACACAGAGCAGAAUAGGGACUGGUCCCCCUACAUCGGGUCACUUGGUAGAUAUGGAUUGACACCUUGUUACAAACUGCUAUUUGUAACGGGCUCCUUUAAAUGGCACCGUUGCUGGGUUGUGGAGAAGCCUAUUUGCCAGCCUCCCUCCGCAUGACUAUGGCCCUGGGAGAUUGUGAAAAAUGUAUGCACUUUUAUUUGCGUGUAUGGCCCCUUAAGACUGUCGGGUGGCAUAUUGGGGCUUAUGGACUCUUUUAUGACUGGUGCUGGCCCCCAAACACCUUUUGGGACAUCAGGAAGAUUGGGACACUGCCCCUUUAAGGCCGCGGUUCCUCAGACUUGUUAGACACGGGCCCCUUUAAGACGGUGUCCCUGUGUCCCCAGACCUGGUGCAAACCCUUUGUGCUCUCGCCUUGCUAUUUCCCCACUCUGGUUCAGUACCGGAAAUUAUUUCAGCUGCAGAGACUAAGUCCCAUUCAGCGAUGGGACUUAGUCUUUUUUUCAGCCGUUUUUUUCAGCCUUAUUUCAGCUGCAGAGACUAAUCAGCCGUUUUUUUCAGCCUUAUUUCAGCUGCAGAGACUAAGUCCCAUUCGGCGAUGGGACUUAGUCUUUUUUUUCAGUCGUUUUUUCAGCCUUAUUUCAGCUGCAGAGACUAAGUCCCAUUCGGCGAUGGGACUUAGUCGUUUUUUCAGCCUGAAAUAGACCGACCUCACAGCCCAAAUCUAUGGAACUGUUUUGGGCAGAAAAAUGUGCUUGCNNNNNNNNNNNNNNNNNNNNNNNNNNNNNNNNNNNNNNNNNNNNNNNNNNNNNNNNNNNNNNNNNNNNNNNNNNNNNNNNNNNNNNNNNNNNNNNNNNNNUCUGUUUGUGGAUGUUUGUGUGUGGAUGUGUGGAUGUCUGUUUGUGUAUGUGUGGAUGUCUGUGGAUGUCUGUUUGUGGAUGUGUGGAUGUCUGUUUGUGGAUGUCUGUGGAUGUGUGGAUGUCUGUUUGUGGAUGUGUGGAUGUCUGUUUGUGGAUGUGUGGAUGUCUGUGGAUGUGUGGAUGUCUGUUUGUGGACGUCUGUUUGUGGACGUCUGGAUGUGUGGAUGUCUGUCUGUGGAUGUCUGUCUGUGGAUGUCUGUUUGUCUCAGUGUGUGUAGGAGUGUAUUUAUGUCUGUUAGCGUUUGUACGUGUGUAUGUGAGUGUAUGUGCUUCUGUUAGUGUAUGCAUGUGUAUGUUUGCAAUUGCAUGUAUGUGCAUAUGUUAUUGUAAGUUACUGUCAAAUAAGUGAGAGUCUGUCAUUUAGUGUGUGUGUGACUAUUAGUGUGUGUCUCUCUGUCAAUGAAUGAGUGUGUGUCAGUGAAUGUGUGUGUCAAAUCAGUGAAGUCUGUGUGUUUGUCAUUGAAUGUGUGUGUUACUGUCAGUGUGUAUCUGCCAGUGUCUGUCAGAGAGUGUGCUUAAAGGGACACUAUAGGCACCCAGACUACUUCAGCUCCUUGAAGUGGUCUGGGUGCAGUGUCCCAGUCCCCUUAAACCUUCUCAGAAACUGCAAUAAUUACCUGAGGGGUAACUCCAAGUCUAGUGGCUGUCUAUCAGACAGCCACUAGAGGGACUUUCGGGUGGUUAGGUGACCAAAGUCACCUAACUGAUGCUGGACGUCCUCACCCUGUGCAUGAGGACAUCCAGCAUCUGCUAAAUACCCAUAGGAUUUUAACCCCUUCAGUGUCGAGUGGGGGAGGGGAGGACAUGAGAGGAGGGGGGCACUAUAUGGAAUUAUAGUGCCAGGAAAACAACUUUGUUUUCCUGGCACUAUAGCAUUUCUUUAAAAGGAGCAGGGAAAGGUGGAGUCUAAAGAGGAAGGGGUGGGUUCUUAAUCAGGAAGUGGUGCACCCUUGACAUGAAGGAGUGGUAAAUUUAGAUUAGGGGGGUGCUCUAUAGUCAUGUCUAGGGCAGCAUAAAAUUAAAAUACACCACUGUGUGAGUGUAUGUGUGUGUGCACGCGUGUGUAUGUGUGUGUGUAUAUAUAUAUAUAUAUAUAUAUAUAUAUAUACAUACAUACAUAUAUAUACAUACAAGUGUUUUGGGUUUUUUUGGGGAGAGUUCCCACACUUUUUUCCCCAGGACUUGACCCCUGAAUAGAUCUAUCAUAACAUCUACUCACAGGUACCUUUCCUUUGUGUGCUCUUUGAUUUUGAACUUUCCUUUACCCCUUGCAUAAAUUCUGUCCCCAAAUCCUUAAAAGAAUUUAUUGCGUUUGCCCUUUUCUUAUUCAGGUCCCAACCAAGACACUUGUCCAUGCUCUUGUUGUGUCCUUGAUUAUUGUAACCCUCUGCUUGUCAGGCUAAAAAGUGUCCAGAUUGCCCCUCUACAGUCCAUAAUGAAUACCUCUGCCAAUGAGAGUCUGACAAUUCUCACACCUCUUCUUUCUGGCAGUCUCUACUCUGGCUUCCUGCUCCAUUUAGGAUCCAGUUGAAAUUUCUCAUGCUUAAUUACAUAACUGUACCCCUGCUUAUAUCUCCUCCAGUGACCUCUUCACUCCAUCGACGACCUGUUACUGUCCCGUUCUCACAUCCGCACCACAGACUCUUGCCUUCAGGACUCCAGGGCUGCUCCCAACUUAUAAAAAUUCUCACCUAUAGUAUUUUCGACUCUCCUAAUCUCUGCAGUCCUUCAAAAAAUCUCUAAAAAUAUACUUCUUCAUAUAUAUUUCUUUAUUUCCUUUGUGCAUGUGUCAUUCAUUCCUUUUAAUUGUAUGCUCACUUCACCUACUGUGCCCGUAUGUCAAACAUAUUUUGAUAGAAUUAAAUGUUUAUCUUGUUUACCUAUUCUUCAGUGCUGCACAAUCUGUUGGUGCUACAUAAAUUAUUGUAAUUGUAAUUCUAAGCACAAGCAAACAGAAACUCACAUUCUAAUCUUGCAAGUAGACCAGCUCUAAAUUGCCAGUGAAGAACCUAAUCUAAUACUAAGGUGGAUUUUGUUAGAGGCCAAUGGUGUAAUGGGAAAUUAUAAAAAUGGCCCAUGUCAUCAGUAACACCACCAGUACUGCAAGAAUGAGAUGCACAAAGCACACUUGAUGGCCCUUAAGGGAAUGAUAAAGUUGAUGUGCUUAUUCAUAGAGUCAACUAACAAUUUUCAAAUUCGUUUAUUGUCAAAUACAGAAAAAGCAUUUGAUAAGAUCAACAUGUAUUAGGAGAACACACACUGAUAGCCUGUUGAGUCAAAUUUUUUAUUUUUAGAACAAUAUAAGCUCUUUACACAUAGUCUGUUUACAGUUACAGGGCUUAAUAUUGUUGUUGUUCUACAUAGAAAAUGGUAAGUGGUAUGCUAGGUUUACUGCUAUUUACUUUUACAGUACAACCAUUUGUUGUAACAAUUAGAAUCUCUCAGACUACAUAAGGUUACAUAAAGGGUUGAAUUUAAAAAGUGUAUGUAGAAAAUGUAAUUUUAACUAGAGCCAGAUUGAGGUUGCCCAGGGCCCUGGGUAUGGUGCCAGAUUGGGGCCCCUUCAUAGAGUCCGGGGUUUUGUUUCUGUAAGUGGUGUUGACUGAGUGUUGUGCAUGUAGGAGGGUAAGAGCUGUAUGGAGAAAGACUGAUUGUCUCUGUGUGAUGACUGAAUUGCAUGUGCAUGUAGGGAAGUCUGAAUAUGGCUAAAUAUGUCUGAGUGGUAUGUGUGUAUGUAUGAUCACGCUCCCUCCACCACACUCAUUCAAUGUAGUAAAACAGGGUCAUGCAAGGAGAUCUUUUGAUCUCCUUUCCGGCUCAAGGAGGGCCAGCCUAAUGGGAAAUCCGUCUCUGAUAUUCACUUUCUUUUUUUUCUUUUUUUUAAUUCUUUUUUUUUUGCAGUGCCUAUGAAUAUGACAAACGCACAUGGUGUAACCCCAACGGCAAUCCUCAUGCUUUUUUAAAAAACAUUGGUAACAUUGAGGUAUCAUUAGUACUUGCACAAUUUUCAGUUAGGAAGAGGUUUAGUAGGAUUAUCAUAGGCUAGUUACGAUAUAAAGCAGGACAUGGAAGUUGCAAGGCAUUCAAUUAAAUUAAACCGCACCAUAGUCAAGCAGAAUGUAGAGUACAGAAUUGCGUGUCUAGUCAGAUUAUGAGUAGAGGAAUGCAAGACAGGACCAAUUCUCUGACAUGGUAUCUGAUUCAACAAAGGCAAAAACAUGCAUAAUAUGUGUCAACAUGGUAUCAUCUAUGAUUUAUGGAUAUUCACUUUCUUUAAUGAGUCUUUUAGUUCAAACUCAUCCAACAAUUCAUAAUUUAGUCCAAUUGUGAAUUAUUUCUUAACAAAUGUGAACCUUCAACCCUUAAAAUUGAGCCACAAAGAGGACAACAGUGACAAAGAAAUCUACGUAGGUGGUGGCUAGCAUGAGCUUUUAAAAAAUAUAUAAUAAACAGUCUAAUAAAAUAUAACAAUUAUUGGGUAAGGAACUUAGGCUAUGCAUAGUAAGAUGGGAAGUUAUGCACAGCAGAAAAUUUAGACUCGGCCAAAUCACUUCAGCUAAAAAAAAUAAUAAUAAUAAUUCAGAAACGGGGCUGUGGCCUGACCUGCUUAGCAAGCAGACAUGUGUUCUGGAAGCUCCUGAUAUGUUUACUCAUCAUUUUAUCUGCCCAAACUCCAAUUCUUUACACAGCUAACUAAUAUGUCACCCGCUAAACAACAUCAAUCUCUAGAGGCGCGGAAGAGAGAUAAACAGAGGGAGAACAUAGGUGGUGGCCACCAUAAGUCGCUGUUGCCAUUGUUGGACAUGGUGUUCACAUCAAAGAUUGGGUGCAGCUGUCAUAGACCCGAUUGGCCUCAGAGAGCAAGAUACACGCUAUGCUACAGGACCUGCGAACUACCCUGCAUGCAGACGUUUAAGCUCUCCUGUUGAAUAUCCAUAGGGACAUCUAGUCACUGAGGAAGUGGACUGAGUGCAUUGAAACCACUCUGGACAAGCUAUGUGUCACCCAUAAUGAUGAGGUUGUAGAUAAGCUGGCCUACCUGUCCUCAGAGCAUGAGUGAGUGUUGGUGGAUGUGGAAAAUCGCUCACACUGGAAUAAUAUCAUGAUUCAUGGUAUAGGUGAGUCCGUUACCCAGGUUGAGCUCCAACAUUACCUAACCUUGUUCUUCAAGACCCUUCUACUGGUAAUACCUGAUUCCCAAAGGAAUAGGGCCCACUGCAUCCCAAAGCCUCGGAACAUUGAGGGUGAUGUGCCGAGAGACAUUGUGGUUCAGUUACACUAAUACAAAGCUAAGGAGGCCUUGAUGACAACGGCACGCAAAAAUCAUGACUACGGAUUUAUUUGUGAAUUUAUCAGCUGCCAUCAUGGCAAAACAAAAGGAAUUUGUGGAGGAUACUGCAUUGCUUCCCAUAAAUAAUAUUGCCUAGAGGUGGAGUUACUCCAUGAAGCUGCUGAUCUGGUGGGACAGACCUACCAAGGUGGCCAGCAGACCAGCACAUCACAGGAAUGUACUGUCCCCAGUUUAGUGAUAGUUGGUUGCAUUGUAAGAAAUCCAAAGUUAUUGUUUUGAGAAUAGAAUGUAUAAAAAAAAUAAAUAAACAAUAUAUAAAAAUAAAUUUAAAAUAAAUCUAAUUUUUUUUAAAAUUGCUAAAAAAAAAAUAAAUGAAAAAGGUGAUUUACAUAUAUAAGUUAUGACUUAUACCCUUCACAUGAGGUGUGUCACCCCUUCAACAUGGCAGCAAAUGUUGUAGUUUAUUCCAUUAACAUGAAUAGCCUGAAUAGCCCCCACCAGUGUCGUACUCUUUUCAAGGAAGCUGAAAGCUACCAAGCUGCAAUCAUAUGCAUACAGGAGACACAGUUCAGUAAAGUUGUCCCUCCUCGCCUUUUCUCCAACCAAUAUCAAACAAGCUAUCGUGCCUAUUCACAAAAAAACAACCCAAAAGGCAUAUUCAUACUGUUUUAUAAUGACUUUUCCUUUCAGUUAAACUCCAAAUAGGAAGACUCGGAAGGUCACCUGUUGGUGGUGGAAGGCCUUCUAAAUUGUGAACAUGUCACAAUAGCAUUAGUAUAUGUGCAGAACUCCUGAAUAAGUCACCAUAUCUUGCUCUACUUUGCCACAAUAGAACUGAUGAAGAGUGGAAGGGAAUUCAACUGAACACUAGAGGCAAGGGAUGCAAGGGAUGUUCAAGGAUUGACACUGACUAAAGUGGCGAUAAAAUAAAACAGUAAAUUCCAAGUCCUAUUACACAAAUACUGCCUGCAUGACAUGUGGAUGGAACACUUGUCUACAAGUAGAGAAUAUACCUUCUAUUUUACAACCCAUUUCAGAUACUCGCGUGAUAACCUUUGCCUCGUUUUCACUCACAACCUCCAAUCUUUAGAUAGGGCAUCCAGUCAAGCCAUUACUUGGUUGGACCACACACUCACUCUCUCAACAUUCACCGCAGUGCAGAGGGAUAUGGGCUGUUGAAUAUAAACAAAGCACUGCUCACUGACAAAUCCAUACAAACAUGCAUAAAGGAGUACAUAGUCACAUUUUUUAGCUGUAACUCACAUGACCAGGAACAGAUCCAUACAGCAUGGUUAGCCCACAAAGUUAUCGUUAGGGGUUACUUAAUCCAACAGGGGUCUAUCAGAAAGAGGACAUUACAGCAUAGGGAACAGCUCACAGCCACACCAGUACCUUUACCACAGUCCUUGGCAUACUAUUUGGAGCGAAUUAUAGUUAGUGUCUGUGAGUGCUUCUCCUUCCUUAAUUUAUGACUUUAUAUGAGUUGGCAAUAUUGCCCUAUUGUGUUGCUUUAUCUUUUUAUCUUUUUUACAUGUGAUACAAAAUUUAAGGUAUUUACCUGUUUAAUCCAUUGUAUGUGGAUAUUUACUGAUGUAAGUGGAUUGUUGCACUUUGCUGUUUACACUUUGCUUUUGCACAGUUAAUUAUGGCACUUUGUUGUAUAAUUUCUCAUUAUUGCAUUAGCACUAUUGGUAUAAUGCACAUUAAUAGGUAUUGUUUGCAUUUUAUUCAUUUGUAUUAAUUGUUUCAAUUAUGUUUAUUAUAAAUUAAUUGUUUUGAACAUUGCACUGCACUAUUUGUUUAUUACGUAUUGCCUAUACUUUAUUGCAUGUUUGAUGGCAUUGAUAGAUAAUCAAUUCAGACAUAUGUGUUAUAAUUAUACAUUUAUUAUAUAUAAAAGAUCAUAAGGAUCAAAGUACUGUAUUUAAAGUAAGUAUGUCAAAGUUAAAUGAAAAUGGUGAUUAUGGCUGCCUUUUUGUCUAUUUAUCUCAAUUAAUAAUGAAUUGUAUAUUUCAUAUUAAUUUGCACACAGUUAAAGUGUAUUGGAUGCCAAUGUGACGGCAUUUGUAAGAUUGUUUGGUAAAACACACACACACACACACACACAAAAGAAAAACUACUCAUCUCUCUGUGCUUCCCCAAACACUUGACUUGGUUUAGGUGAUUUUGUGCUUUGGAUUAUUUUUUUUUAUUGUGAAUGUCACAUAUAAGUGACACAUCAUGUAUAAUAUCGUCUUCAAAAAUUUGUGACUAACGAGCAGUUAUACAGUUGACAUUGCAAACGAAACACAGUACAUCUACUUUUUGUAAUAGAAAACAAAGGAAAAAAUGUGAUAAAAAAGAAGCAACUUCUACAUCCAGUUCCCUUAGAUAGCUAGUGUUCAAUUUGUGCGUUCAGUGUUGCAUAGUUGAGGUCUGCAGUAAUAUGUCACAUCAGACCUUAUGAAAAGUAGUUAUGUUUAGAUUUUGUCUUAUAGUAACUUGUAUGCUCCCCAUGUGACCACGAGAUAUGGACCAAGCUCAGAUGUCAUUCUGGAACACCUGGUGGUCCAGGAGAUGUUGGGAGGCUUAACAUAUUUUGCACCAGUACCUAAUGGAGUUUGAGACUGUGAAGAACCCUGUUAGAGAUUUAUUUCAGCAUUUACCCUUGGAAGAAAAUACAUUUUAUUUUAGUGCCAUCUCUAGGCCAUUUGUAAUAAUGUGACAAACUGCAAAUUAUGUAGGAAGCAACAAUAAUCUUUCUGCUCUUACCGAUCUUACUUGAAGUUGCUCAAGUUUGGCAUAAAUAAAUGUAAACAUUUUGAUAAAAACCCUGUCAUUCAAUUGUUGUUAUAUUUAUCGGUUACUAAUCUAGGAAAGGAUCAGCUGAGGGUAAAGCAAACAAUUUAUUUGCAAAUUGCAUACUUAUCCAGAGAAAUUAGAUCAUUUUCAUAAUAGUAAAAGAAAAAAUUCCUUUUAGCUGGAUUGGCAGCAGAAACUCUCUAAAAUUCCACUUCUAGUUUAUUUACAAUGACCUACGGACAUUUUUAGCAAUUCUUUGAAUCAGCUGCAUUUUUAUGUUAAGCUAUAAAAGCUUUGUCUAAUAGAGCAUAUUCGGAUGCAUGACAGCCUCCUGCUGAGUUUAAUUAGUAACGACGUGACAAUAACUGGCAGAAUACUUAUUGGGCCAAUCUGCCGUAAUUUUAUGUGCAAAUAUAAACAAAAAUAUAAGGUAACUUAAAGAAAAGUAUAAUAUCACUAAAACCAAAUAGUAGCUACCAAGCCUGUUUUCAUACACUCUUCGCUCCCUGUUUUCAUACAUUCUACACAAAUUGAAUCCUGCAAGUAGCUAUUAUUGCCUGUAUAACAUUGGGGUUCAUGUAAUUAUUUAUGUAUGUAUUUAUUUAAUAUUUAUUUUGUCUGAUUUUAGGAGUUUUACAUGCGCUUAUUGGCUAGUUAAUUAGGUGCACCUAUUAAUUAACACAAACUGCCAAAGAGUAAAUUAUAUAGCUGCGCGCUGAAUUGGUAACGUAACACUCCAAUGGGAAAAAAUAUUAUUAUUUUUUUUAAAACAAUUUAGCAGAUAUAUCCCCAAUGGAAACAUGCAUGCAUUUAUUGCUUAAUUUUUUUUCUAUCUAAAAACAAUUUGCAAAAAGUGCAGAUUUGCAGCCUUUUCAAGCCCUUCCACUCUUCUACAUGCCAGACUUUCUGUGGCUGGGAUCACAGACUUCCAUAUGCAGCUCAAUGAGAUGUCUUUGCAAAUUGGGCAGUCUGGGCAGUUGCCUGCCUCUUGAGUUUAGCUCUACUGAGCUAAACAAGCAGGAAAUAUCAGGACCAAGUGAACGAUUGACAGCCAUCCUCGUGAAGCAAGGUUAAUUUAUAAAAGUGCCAAUUUCUAUUGAAACCAAAAUUGUUUGUAAAACAUAAAAAAGAGGACAUACUCUUCACACAUAAAUCACUUCAGCAGGUGCUUUAAGUGUUUGGAAUGUUUCUUUAAGAUGCUUUUUGUUUAGCCAAACAUUAGAACUAGGACAACAUAAUAAGUUCUUUCUCGGGUCUCCCUCCUUCUGUCUCUCCUUCAUCUCUUGUUUGUUGCUGUUAUCUUUGACAUAUUUGUCUGUUUUCUCUCUUAUUUUGUCACAGGUUAACUGUACUUCCAGGACAGGGCAGUGAAUACCAAAAAGUGUUCAGCUGAGACUUGCGGAGUGGUGUUCUGCUUUUGGCAACGAAUUUGCCAUGAUACAAAACAGUCUGUUGGAUGAGAACCCCUUCUGUUGGCAUAUAGUUAUUUAUUGAGCUGACGUGUUUUGUUAAGUAGAAGCUGUGGCUGUCAGACUAUUCCCCUUUAACUGGUAUGCUGUGGUUAUUGGGUAGGGUAACAGAUCUCUA